CAUGCCCAAUGACACUCUCGCCAAGCAUCUCUUCCACUGUAUCAUCUUCUUCUUCUUUCAUUUUUUUUUUAUUCCUUUUUAACUUGUCUCUUGUGUUGUUGUGUCUUACUUCCUUCUUCCUUCCUUCAGGGGAAACUCAGACUAUUGAGUGGGCCAUGCGCUUGCGGGUUGCUCUUUACAUCGCACAGGCUUUGCAUUAUUGCAGUUCGGAGGGGCGCCCCCUGUACCAUGACUUGAAUGCUUACCGUGUUCUCUUCGACCAGGAAGGUGAUCCUCGUCUCUCUUGUUUCGGUUUUAUGAAGAACAGCAGGGAUGGCAAGAGUUAUAGCACUAAUCUUGCUUAUACACCUCCUGAAUAUUUAAGAAACGGUAACUAACCGCCUUCUUGCUACUUAUUUACUUUUAUAACUCUCACCGAUUACUACGUUUCUCUCUAUUCAAAUAAUUCCUUUUCUGUUCUAUUAUCACAGGAAGGGUCACUCCUGAAAGUGUCAUUUACAGCUUUGGAACUGUCCUUCUAGACCUUCUCAGUGGCAAACACAUUCCUCCCAGUCAUGUAACUGCCUUCUAUCCUUUUACCUUUCUCUUGCCUUACUACUUUGCACAUUUUUUUUAACUCUAUAUCAAACUCUCACCUUCUGCAUUAAUAAUGUCCACUGCUAGUUCUCUUGGGAGUAUUUCUUACCUAUCAAAAUAGCCUCGCAAGCAGGAUUAUCUGUAACCAAUUCAUGGCUCCAUAUAUAGACAUUGUUGAAUUCGGGUAUAUCUUUCAUUUGCAUGCUUAACUACCAAACAUAGGAUGAACAAAUCAUUAAAAACUAUAAAUGAAACCUCCCUUCCCUGAAUCAACUUGCCCUUUCCACGACCUGUUGUUGUAUUAGUUGUCUAAUAUUUCCACAUAUCAUUAAAAGCUUUAAAUGCUUCUAUGUUUUUAAUUGUGGUAUUUUAGUCUUAAACGUGUAAUUCUUAGUUUCAGUGUUUUCCCUGCGGAUCUUGGCUGUUAUUGUGUUUGCAAGUGCUUGUUAUAUUACCUUAUAAAUGAUAUCAUGAUAUAGUACAAUAAAUUAACCGUGAACAUUUCCUAAUGGGAACUCAAGGUAUGGCAAUCAUUUUCUUUGAUUGAUAACUAAAAAUGGAAGUUGCAGAUACUAUUAUAGGUAGCUGAGUUUUUUACAUCAGUUAUGGAUGCUGACUUGUUCAAUUAGCUUUUUUGGUUGGUGCCAUAUGGAGUUAUCUGAUUUUGUUUGCAGGCACUUGAUAUGAUACAGGGGAAGAACAAUAUGCUCUUAAUGGAUUCACAUUUGGAGGGAAAGUUUUCAACAGAAGAAGCAACAGUGGUUGUUAAUCUUGCCUCCAAAUGCUUGCAAUAUGAACCGAGGGAGCGGCCUGAUACAAAAGAUUUGGUCACAACACUUGCUCCAUUGCACACAAAACCCGAUGUACAUAUCCCUUCUUUAACUUGAUAACGAAGCAUAUUUUUUACUGAAUACUGGGAUUGAAACUUUGUUGCUUCAACAACCUUACCAUAUAUUCCAUCGUCCACAUGAAUUAGGCUUCAUGUUGGAUGUUCAAGUUCCUAAAUGUCUAAUAUUUAAAUUCUCUGACUCGUGAUAUUUAAUAUUUCUCUUUGAUUACUCAUCGCAUAAUGAAAUAUGCUUGGUUGGUGUCACUUAGCUCACCAUCCUCAAAUUACAUUAAAAAAUGGCAAUCCAAAUAUUAGGCUGUGAUUUACAAAUGUUCAUUUUGAAUCUGAUUAGGAUUUCUUUAGGCCCUAAACUUCUUUUUCUUGAGAUGAUAUAAUAUGGUAAGGGUUUUGUGUAUAAGAUAGUUUAUAUAUGUUUGAUAUGUCAAGUUCUCAAACUGCCAAAGUAAUUGGUUUAUUGUUCUAGCUGAUUGAGAAGUUCAGUUAGGAAAGAGUUAGUCAUCUUUGUUGUUUGGUCCUUGUUUAAGAGUUAUUCUAUAUCUAUUUCAUACCAUGAUAUUGUUACGGAGUAUUCAUCACCUUCAGUGAUGACUAAUCUCCGCUCAAGAACCUAACUGGUCACCUUUAGCGAGGUCUCUUCCCAAAAAAUAAAUCUUUAAUGUAUUACUAUUAGUUUGUUAGUUUUAAAGGAUAAACGAAAUUUAGGUAAUUUUUCUGAUGUGAUGUUAUCUAGAAAUAUACACAAUAUGACCUUGAAGAAACCUGCUCUUUACAUACAUCUGUCUCAUAAAGAGCUUAGUCAAAGCUUUUUAUCUAUGCCUAGUUCUCACAAUUUGGGCUUAGGGCUUAAUAUAGCUCCAUUAAAGAACUGGUUUGUAAGUCAAGGACUGUCAAAUCUUUAUACGGACUACAUUGACAAUAUUUCUAGUUGAUGGGUUUUUUUAGUAUAGACUCAUAACUUUCUUGAGUAAUUGUCUACUAUCGACAAGAAGUAUCUAGCACUAGAGUGUGAUGGAGUUGAAGAUGGUCCCCAUGAAUGUAGUAGUCUAGAGUUUCCUUUGGUCUCUGUUGUGCUACAUUAAGUUGGACUUUGCAAACUUUACCUUGUAUGCAGUAUUCUCCUUUGAGACUGGUCUCAACACCUUGCUACCAAAGCUAAACACAAUUGUGUUAUGAGUAUUCCCCAAUAGCACUUUCUUGUCCUUUUCCGGCAUGGCUAUGUCAAGCUUGAUUCACCUUCUAGUGCUUCAAGGAGACUUAGUUGAACUAGAAGGCAUGCAUCUUCAACCACGCUAAUUAAUUUUUUUAAAAAGCGCUUAAAUAAGUAGAGAAGACACAUGAACACUCACCAGUGCACAUGAUUCGCAAUUUCCUGCAUGGUGGCUUCAGACUGCCACUAUGCAAUGCCCAACGUGGCUGCUAUGAGCCACCGUGUGAAACCUGGUUUGACGGCUAUCCAACGUACUCAAUCAUAUUCAUAAACUCUUUUACCACGAAAGAAUUUGGACUUAAGCUCCUAGUCAAUCUUAAAGUCAACUUCAAAAAUUAACAUGUAAAGUGAGAACUGUCAAAGCCUUAUAAGGAUUACAUAAGUCUUAUCACUAGUCUAUUUGAGAUCUUAAAACACUCCUUUUGCCUCUUAUUCAAUAACUAUGCUCUCUCAAAGCCUAAAAAUAGACAUAUAGUGUAGAUAAAUACAAGUGGCCCAAAAUGAAUCUAUGGUAAGUUUUGAGAUUUUCUUAAAAUUUAGGAUUAAAGCCUAACUCAAUCGUACAAUAGUGACUUGUAAAGUGUGAAUUGGUUGAGCUUUGUGAGCCCUAUUUAGGUAAUAUCUUUAGGUAAUGUUGGACUAAACACAUUGCUUAGUACUGCAAUUAAGGAAAUACUAGAAGAAGUUGCAAUUAAGGUGGGUUUGGAGUGAGUGAGUGAUUUCAGUUACGGUGGCUUUCUAACACUCUUUUCAUGCCCAAGGAUGUGUAGGUGACCCAAAAAUGAAUAUAGGAUAAACUUAAGUACUAUUUUAUAGAACUUUAAUCCCAUGGAAUUUACUUUUAGAAAACUAUCCAAGCCUUAUAAACACUACCUUAGCCAUAUUUAUGUGGAAUCUCGACACCACAUGCUCAUUAUCUAAUAACAAAAUCCCUCCACAUCUAAGAACAUAUAUUUAGACCAUGGACAAGUACAGUUGGUCCAGUAAUGAAUUGAUAACAGACUCGAGGUUGCAAUUAAGGUAACUCCUAAAUCCUCACACUCAAACCUAUGGGUCAAGAGCAUGACAAUAUAGGUGGCCUAACAACGAGUCAAAAUACUAUCUUAGAAUAAAAACCUCCCUCAUGCCUAGAAAUAAACAUCUAGACUGGAUAGAAAUACAGGUGACUAAGUAACAAAUUUAGGAUAGAUUGAUGCAUCUUAACAUUUGGGUUUAGGGCCUAAUGGAAUCCCCAAAAUCAUCUUGUAAGGAAAGGAUUAUUCGAGAUAUAUAAAUUAUAAUAUCUGUUUUAACUAUGUCUCUAGGUGACGGGAAACUAAAUACACAUGUUCAAGGCUACAAUUAAGACAACCCCAAAUAGGCCAAAGGCCUAGCCAAGGGUAAUCAAUCAAUCACAAUUAAGGUGGUUUCAACGCUAAGAUACAAAUCUGAAUUCAUAUUAUUCAAUCAUUUUAUGUGUAGGACAAUCUAGUACAUGAUUCCUACCAAAUGGAGUCUAGGGAGGAUGUAUGUAUCAUGCAAGCUUAGCCCCCCAAGCGAAGAGAGAUUAUUUCAGGAAUUUGAAUAUUUGACUUUUAAGUCAUGGGGCAACUGUUUUCCUGCUGUGUUCAUACUUGACCUAUCUGUCAGCACUGUAAUUAAUAGAUGACCCAGUUGUUAGACUUGCAUGAUUUCAAGGUUUCAGCUUAUGUUAUGCAUCUAGUUGAAUGACAUUAUGACCGGUACAAAAUUUUCUUUGGUUGCCAUUGGACUUCAAUGAGCCUGAUGCUACUUUUAGGUUUGCAUGUACUUGCAGCUGGAAAAUUCUGAACCAGUACAUAGUAUAUACGAUAUUCAUGCCUAUACACCGAAGAUUUUGAACAUAUAGCUAUCACAAAAUUUAGUUAUCUAUCUAUAAAUUUUAACUUUGCAUUAAUGCAUGUCUUGCCAGAAUGUGUUCAAGAAUAAUAAAACUAGUGCACAAGUCAAGCUAAUUCUAUGCAAUGCUGAGCGUGACUAAAUAAAGUUCUUCCACGCAUAGUAUUUAUUAUUUGUCAUGCAUGCAAGUGUUUUAUUGUCUUUCCCGCUUAUCAUGUAUUUGUCGGUGUACAAAAGUAAAAAAGGGAUUGAAGGUGCAUGGUGAGCUGUAGCAAUGCCAACAUCUCUCACUUGAUAUGGAAAUGUAUCGUUGUUAAACGGCAAUGUAGUUAUAUGAAAGGAAAUAAGCAGGAAUAAUUGUAAUUGAUUAUUAAUGUUACGUGCUUCAGGUUCGUUCUCACAUAAUGCUUGGAAUUCCAAAGCACGAGGAAGCUCCAUCAACCCCACAACGCCCUCUUUCAGCAAUGGGAGAGGCUUGUUCAAGAAUGGACCUUACUGCAAUACAUCAGAUCUUGGUCGCGACACACUACAGAGAUGAUGAAGGAACUAAUGAGGUAACUCAUGGGUUCAGUGGUUUUAAAUUCACUACUUUUGGUUAAAAAAUAUGCCAUAAAGUUUUGAAUUUGGAUUGGCUCAGCUGUCGUUCCAAGAGUGGACUCAACAGAUGAGAGAUAUGCUGGAGGCAAGGAAGCGUGGAGACUAUGCAUUCCGUGACAAAGACUUCAAGACAGCCAUUGAUAACUAUUCCCAGGUGCAAUAUAGCAUUUGUUUGACAUUUGCAAAUGAUUGUGUCUAAGCUAUUUGCAUGCUAAUUUUUUUGGUUGCUUCUGCGUUGUUCUACGCGUGCAGUUUAUUGAUGUGGGAACGAUGGUCUCCCCAACUGUUUUUGCGAGACGCAGUCUAUGCUAUCUGUUAUGUGAUCAACCAGAUCCUGCACUACGUGACGCAAUGCAAGCACAGUGCGUUUAUCCAGACUGGCCGACGGCUUUCUACAUGCAAUCAGUUGCUCUUGCGAAGCUGGACAUGCACAAGGAUGCGGCUGAUAUGUUAAAUGAGGCAGCUGCAUUGGAAGAGAAGAGACAAAGAGGAGCAAGAGGAUCGUAAUUUAUGCAGUGAGCUAAUUUGAGGGUGCUAAGUUCUGUAUAAAGGUUGAGCUGGGAAGCAAAACUAACAUUUGAGUGAGUUUAAGAUGUGUCAGAGAAAUACAACACUGGUGGAGUAGAUGGCGCACGCACUUUAUUUCACCAUCUUAUAGGAAUCGGUCACAACUUGAAAACUGUGCUUAUGCACUCUGAAUUGGGAAGGAAUACCGGUAAUUUUUCCAUUGUUAAUGAAAUUGAUUGUUUGAUGCCUACUGGGUUACCGUCAACCAAGUGUUUAUUGAGGUUAUUCUAACUCUUCACUGGUCAAGGCCUCGGUGUUCAUAAUAUUAUGUUAUGUCUGCAUAAUCUAUCUACAUGGAGUAAUUGUAAUACACAUGCAAUCUCUCUCUUCUAUUCGUAAUAUUAGUUGUUGGAAGUGAUACAUUCUGUUUAAAUUUCCAUGAUUGGUAAAUCCUGAACACAAAGUAGGCAGCACAUACACUAUUUUUAAUCAAGCGUUUAAUUUUUAUCUUUACAGAUAUUUAUAAUGCUUUUGUUCGGUUUAUAGAACUGUGAACUAUUUUUUCAUCAUGACUUUUUGUUUCCCUAAUGUACUCAUUAAUAGUUGUAGUUUAUAAUACUACAGACACAUACAUCUACAUGAUUAUAGAGAUUUGUGGGUUCAAUUUAGUCUCAGUUUGUUAAAAAGUGGAUUAUUGGUUAAGUUGAAAUUGAAGUCAUUGAUAUCCACUUAAAAUAUUCACUUACAUUGUAUAAAUUCACGGUUUUAAAAUUACUUUAUGUUUAUUUAAUUUGAUACUUUCUUGAUUCUUCAAUUGUUUCUGAACCACACAUGUCCGGUGAUCGUCGGCAGCUGAAGUAGUGUCAUCUAUAGUGACACGUCGCUGACUUCCAAAACAAUUCAAUUCACGCUCUUUCUCUUCCUGCACGCCCUUUAUUACUAAUUACACUCCAUACUAAUAGAAAAAGACUAAAACACCUCUCAUUAUACCGCUACUGCUGUCAUUGUUUCAGAGGGAGAAUUCGUUGUCGAAACUAAUAAUUUAAGUCACUUUGACUGAGGGUGAAAUGGUAAUUUUAGAAAGAGCUAAAUAUAUUUUUCUUUCUAAAUUAAUUUAUAUUUCAUACUUUAAUAUAAUGUGAUAUUUAAAUGUAAAAAGGAAAAAGAUAUAAUUUCUUUUAGCUCUCAGGCUAAAUAAAAAUACAAAGACUGUUUAUUUCUAGACUCUUAUAGUUUUUAAGACGCAUCUACAAUUUUUAAAAUUAACAUUUUAUUAAAAAUUACAAUUUAAUAAAAGUUGUUAGAAUUUCAAAUUUAAGUCUAAGAAUAAAUUUUACGAAACAAGAUUAAAUGAGUCUUUAUUCUUCUUCUUCUUCUUUUGCAGCUGCAAUGGUGCAGCCGUAGCAAUGGUGGCACCGACAGAAAUGAGGGUGGUGGGAACGAAGGAGGUGCAGUUGGUAAUUAUUGGUUGCAGGAAGAAAAAACAAAGAUGAAAAGGUAUUAAAAAAAAAGUAGAGCGGUCAUAUUCUCUUACUGUUUUAGUGGAUGAUGGAAUGAUUGUCGAAAAGAGGAGUGAGUGGAUGUUCCAAUUUUAUUAAUUGCACGAUAAACACGUGCUAUUAUUAUUUCCCUAUUGCGAAUUUGCAAAUUGAUAUGCUAUGCAAGUGUGUGUGUGAACAGAGAAGCAAAAGCUGCACCAUCUAAUAAAUAUAUAAAUAAAUGAGAUAGUGUUCUUGUUUAGGAACUUGUUCAUCUUUUUCAUGCCUUGUCUUGUUUCGAUUUUUUAAGGAACAUGCCAUGCUUGUCUUGAUUCGUAUCUUUAAUAAUUUUUUUAUAAUUAUUUAUGUGAUAAUUUCUAAUUGAUCGAUUUUAAAUAUACUAUGUUGAAAUGCAAACAAAGUUUCACGUUGAAUAAAAGAAAAAUUGAUAAGAGUUUAUAUACACAUAGAUAUCUCUAUUGAUAAGAAAAGCCUUUUGAAAUGGUGACAAAAACAAAAGACGUGAGAACUUGACUCAAAACGAAUAAUAUCUUAUCAUGUGUGAAGAUCUAUGUGUGUGUUGAACCUCGAAAAUAUACCAAUAUAUAAAUAUAAAAAUCAUUAAAUAAUAAUACAUAAUCUCUCAUAAAAAAAUUGUUAAAAUAAAUGAUCCUGUUCGUAUGCCUACCAAAGUACGCUGUCGUGAGUGCUGACCUACAUUUCAACGUGAGUCUCUUUUCUUUAUCAUUCCAAUCACUUUCCACGUCCUUCUUAACUUAACUCUUUUUAAUUGCAUCGCCUUAAUAAUAAUACAUUUUCCAUCUAAAUUUUUAACUCAACUUCUUCUUUAUUGUGCCUCAGAUCUUAUAAUUUGCAUGAUUUCUUUACGAUAACGAAUGAACCUAUUUAAUUAAUCAGUCUACGAAAAUCGAUAAUUUAUGUAAGUUUUCAAUGUCAUUCUUAAGACUAUUGAGAUUUCAAUACCUUAAUAAUUUUUAAUUUAUUAGUCAGGAGCGUCUCUCCAUUGGUCUUCGUAAUAAGGAUAUUUUUUGCUAAAAGGAAUAAUGCAUUUGACAACUUCAAGAGAAUCAGAGAUUGGUAUGAUUUCUUGGAGAUUAUGAUUUUCGUCUUUAAAAAACCAUUGCUUGUUUCGAAAAUAUUUCCUUAGCUGAAAAGUUUAAAUUUUCAAAUACGAGAAUCAAUUAUCAAUACACACUUAUUAUUACACGAUACUUUUAGAAAGAAAAAAGAGCAAAUGUUAUAAUAGGCAACGUAAUAAUACAGUAGAAAAAAAUUAGUAAUACUUUGACCUACGAAAUUUUUUUACAUUGUCCUUUUUUACUUUUUAUUCUUUUCUUUUUUAAAUAUAAAAAUUUAUAUUUUUAUAAUUAUUUUAUCUUUAUAUUGUGUAAUGUAAAAAUGUGUCAUUAUAUAAUUAUUGUAAAUAUAGUUAUUAUAUAUAAAAAAAUAAUUCUCUGGUACAUUUAAAUUUUUUACAUUUAUUUGUUAUUAUCUUUGUAUUUUUAUACUCUUUUUCUUAAAAAAAAAAUACAAAAUAUUUAUAUUUUUAUGACCAUUUUAUAUUUUUAUUUUGUGUCAAAUGAAUGUAAAAGUGUGUCUUGUACCAUUAUUCUCUCUCUAUAUAUAUAUAUAACCUUUAUAAAUAUAACUUUAUUUUUAUCUUAUAAUAAGUGUAUAUAAUGUAAUGACCAUGAUAUUUUAACAAUUUUUUGACAAUAGAUCACGUGUCAUUAUUUUAUUAAUUCAUACAUUUUUCAUCACGUAAUCAUAUGAUGGGUAUAGUGCUUAGUUAUUAGCCUAAAGUAUUUGUUAAAUAAUAAUGUAUAUAAAGGUGGGAUUAGAGUUGUAAUUAUGGUAUAAUAAAGUAGAAGGAUGUGAUAUGAAUGGUUGGAAUAGUAAAUGGAAAAUUGGAUUAAUGCCUAACCUACCUACGUUAUCUAGUUGUUCCUCGUUGUAGGCGCCAUUAAUAACAUGCAACUCUUCUCACGUUUCUUCUCUAUCUAUAGAAAUCACUAAAAACAUUCGAAAAUUAAACUUGUAAGUGCAGGAAGAAAACAGUGUGAAUAUUUUAAAAAGCAGAAAUGGAGUAUUUGUAAUGGGAGAGAGGAAAUGAAGUUUUGGAGGCACGUGUGGAGUUCAAAGGCAGCUUUGUAGUUGAAAAAAAUAAUAUAAAUAGGUCUGAGAAGCUCAGUUCAAGAUCGUCAAAGAUGAUGAAGAAGAAGGAAAUAGUCAUCCUCGUUCCGUAUCCCGCACAGGGACAUGUCACUCCCAUGCAAAACCUAGCCUGGGCUUUCCUGGCCCAAGGAUUUCACCCUCUCAUUGUCCUUCCCCACUCUUUCCACCGCAAGAUGCACGGUCAGGAGGAGCAGGACGGGCUCGGGUGGGUGGGCCUGGGUGAUGGGAUGGGCCAGGCGGAGGAAAGCCCAGAUUUCUUUGCGAUCGAAUCGGCCAUGGAGAAGAGGAUGCCGAGUGAUUUGGAAGGCCUGAUAGAGAAGGUGCGUGGAGAGGGUGGUGAGGUGGCGUGCCUCGUGGUUGAUCUCUUGGCCUCUUGGGCCAUAGAAUCGGCCCACAGGUCUGCCAUCCCCGUUGCUGGGUUCUGGCCCGCCAUGUUCGCUUCGUACCUUUUGAUCGCUUCCAUUCCUCUCAUGCUCAACCGUCGUCUCCUUUCUCACAACGGUCUUUCCUUCACUUUCCUCCAUUCUUCUGUAACUAUAAUAUGAACUACAACAACUCUUCUAUUAAUUAAUUACUAUUUUAUGUUGGUAAAAAUUUCGUUAAAGCAAUAGUUGUAUUUUUACCGAUGAGGAACUCUUGUAAAUAUUCAAACUUUAAUCAUAAAAUAGGAUUUAUCUGCUUUAAAAAUUACACUUUGCUGCAUUUUCUCCCUACAUCUUGUUUUUCUUUCAUAUUAAUAUACAUCAAAAUUUAAUCUUUUCAACACUCACUCCUUUCCGUCCAAAACGUGACAUUCACACUCAAUAUUUUCCAAUUGUUUAUGAUUACAAGUCCGAGGUUCAAGUUACACGAAAAAUUAUAUUUUUACACACAUGAUUUAUUUUAUACUAUUCAUCCUUACUUUUUUAUUUAUUUUUUUUAAACUAUAAAAGUUAACUUUUUAAGGUUAUUUUUUUCUGAUUAGAUGUGUCUGUGUGCCACGAUAUUUUUAUUCAAACAUGAAAAGAAUAAUUGUACUAAAAUACAUUUUUAUAUUUAUACAUAAUAUAAAAAUAAAAUAGUCGUUAAAUUAUAAAAUUUUAUAUAUUUUUUUUAUGAAAGAAAAAAUAAAAAGUAAAAGAAAUAGUAUCAUAUAAAUGUAAAAUGUAAAAAAGUUAAUUUAUUUUGAAGUCCCUCUUAGACUAUAUUACUAACACUGUCUGUGUUUGUAUUUUAUACACUUUGCCAAUGGUGAUAUAGCCCUGUUUUACUUUCUUUUGCAGGGCUUCCGCAACACGAGGGGAAAUUCAGCCUGGAUCCCGAGCUGCCGGUGAUUUCAACCGAGGAUCUACCGUGGCUUGUGGGAACAGAAGCUGCGAGGAAAGCGAGAUUUAAAUUUUGGAAAAGAACUCUGGAGAGGUCAAGUGCUCUGAAAUGGCUGCUGGUGAAUUCGUUUCCCGCAGAAAGCAAACUGGAAGUGGAAAACAGGAAGAUGGGUACAGAAGGGUGGCCACGCGUGUUGCCUAUAGGGCCUAUGUGCAGGAAUGGGAUAGCGAAAAGUGUGAGCUUUUGGGAGGAAGAUAUGAGCUGCUUGAAGUGGGUGGCAAAGCAGAAGAAGAAGUCAGUUGUAUACAUCUCAUUCGGAAGUUGGGUGAGUCCAAUCGGGGAAGCAAAGCUGAGAAAUCUGGCAGUGGCGCUUGAGGCUUCGGGGAGGCCAUUCAUUUGGGUGUUGAGGUCGAGUUGGCGGCAAGGCUUGCCGAAUGGAUUUCUGGAAAGGGUCGAGAAGGAAGACAGAGGCAGAGUGGUGAGUUGGGCACCGCAGAAACAGAUUUUGCAGCAUGAUUCCGUGGCUUGUUAUAUCACACACUGUGGAUGGAAUUCCAUAUUGGAGGCUUUGCAGUUCGAAAAGAAACUGUUGUGCUACCCUGUGGCAGGGGACCAGUUUGUGAACUGUGCGUUUGUUGUUGAGGUUUGGAAGGUAGGCUUAAAACUCAACGGGCUGGAGCCAAAGGAUGUUCAAGAAGGAAUUCUUAGGGUGAUAGAAGAUAAGGAGAUGGAAGGACGGUUAAAACUACUGAAUCAAAGAAUCAUGGCUGCUAACAAUAACAUGGGAGCUUCCAUGUUCAAAACCUUCCUAGAAGAUCUCAAAAGGACAUCUUCAACAACUACAACCACUCAAGAUGCAACUGAAAUAAACAUUCCUUGUUAUUGAUUUUCCAACAACAACAGUAAUUGUGCUAUAUGUUAUAACUAUACAUUGGACUAAAAUUCCCAGCUAGAAGGAUUGAGGUGGAGAGUUCUGAAACUAACGAUAAUGUUGUACUAUUCAGAAGGAAUAACAAGCACUUCAAUCUAUGUAUAUUGUUUAGUGGAAGUCUAAUAAUAGUAGUAAUUUCCCCUUUUGUGUGCAUUGUAAGAUAUUACAAAGUUUCUAAUUUCGCUACACUUAGUUGAAUUGUGCUUUAUAUUAAUGAGUAUUUUUCUCCCUUAAGUCCUGAGUUGAGUAGCUCAAAAUAAAAAACACAUCCAAACCAGAUAUGGUGUAGCUGUUUUUGAUUUUCUCAAGCUCGCCAAACUUAAUUAACAUGUUUCAGUAAAGAAAAUAAAACUGUCAUAUAUAUAUAUGAUGGAGGGUUGAAAGAGACCUUUUUCAUUGAAGAAAUAUCAGUAUCCAGAGGAAAUACAAAGAAGGAACAGGGAUUCGUUCAUAUAUAUAUUAUAUGACUAAUUAUUGUCACUGUUCCUUUGGUAAGAUUUUCGUUUCUUUCUCCUCUGCAGGAAAUUCUGAAGUGAUUUCUUGAUGGAGAGGUGUGGCGAAAUAUGUACUAAUAAUGCUUCAGAACGCAAGCUUCUGGUUUUCACCAUUUCUCUACUUGCCAACCAUAUUAUCGCUCUUGCCUGCAUUCAUAUAUUUCAUUUUUAGACUUUGCUUUUCGUUUAAUUAACAACCAAUUCAACAAUUAUUAUUUUCCAGAUUUAGAGAAAACAUAAAGCACACUCCUUUUAUAUUCUAACUCUUGUAUUUCUUGUUCUAAUAUAAGUAUCAAUAAAGGGAAGAGAACAAAAAGCACAUUUCAAGAAAGAACAGCUCGGUUAAAUAAAUACAUUAUUCAAUAAGAAAUUUUGAUCAUAAACAAUUAUAAAUUUUAAUUAAUCAAUGUUGAAUGGAUACAUGAUUACAAAAACCGUUAUAAUGUGGUUAAUGAAAUACUACAAUUUUACUUACAAUCUAUCAAUGUAUAAUUAGAGAUAUUACCUGAAGUUCUGUAGUGUCAAAAAUGCAGUGGCGUUGGUUAUGAAGAAUAGCAGCAAGUUUAAUACUGUGUAGGUUGAAGUUCCCAUUCCUACAAAUAUCUUGCAGUAAAGGAGGAAAUCAGUGAAUAAGGAAUGAAGAAGAAGAUGUGGUGAGUGAGAUAGGCAUAUAAAAAAUAAGAAACAGUAGAAAAUAUUGAAAAAGAAAGAGUGGAGGUUGCUUGCAUUGAAGUAUGAGAAGAGGAAGAAUGAAGACGAAGAUCGAGAUAGCAGUUUCUCUUCAUAUAUUAACUGGAAAAGUGAAAAAUGGAAGUAUAUUGGAGAAGUAAAAAAAAGGACAGGAAGAGACAGAGAUUUGAAGGUUACACAAAUAUAUAGAUAUAAAAAGGAAAGAAUGAAAAUGAGUUGAAAAAAUAAGAAUGUGUGGGAAAUGAGUUACACAUGGCAAAACUAUUGAAUAUGGUUAGAGAUAUUAGGUAAGAUAGGUUUUAUGAAUCUGCAUUUUCAUGUGAGUUCUAUAACAUGACAGCUACCAUUGUUUGCUCUUCCAAAGUGCAUUCUUACCCAAAUUGGAAAUUAGGUCACUUGGUCGACUUUACUUUGUUUUACUUUCUCUGUGUAACUCCCUCUUUCUGCAUUAUAUGUGUCUUGUACGUCCUCCCUCUCAUUUCUAUCGCGUGAUACAAUUAAUUUGAAAAUGACAUUUUUUAAGAAAAGACACUCAACUUCUUAAGAGAACAACUUAAAUUUAAUUUAACUUUUCAAAAUCAAAAAAUCGACUUAUAAAAUAAAAUAAGUCCAUAAUUUUUCAUUCACUUAUAUACUUUAAAUUGAUCGAUUAAUUUUAAACAUCUUUUUUACAACUCACUUUUUAUAGUUUUUUCUAUCCCUUGGUUUCUAUUUUUUCACAUUUCUGUGUGAAUUUUGAGUAGAAAAGUAGUUUGUUAAAAGUGAACCUAAUGGAAGAGUAGAUAUUAUUGAUGGAGUCAUGUGAGCAGUGUCUAAUGUUGUCAUGUGUCACGUUCCACGUGUGAGUGAGUGUUGUGAAGUCGUGCAUGGUUGUUCUACUACUUGAUUAGAAAGAGUGAAAUAUCUAAGAAUCAUGUGCUCCACUUUGUCGGCCUAAUACCCUUUGAUAUUUUUAGCCUAUGGAUAUUUGUAGCAUGUAGGUCUGACUUGGGAUAAAUAUAGGUUCGGUUUAACCUCGUUGAUUUCAGUCCAAAAUCACUUUAGUAUUUUAAAAUCCAUCUCCAGUCAGAUAUUUUAUAAAGACAAUUUAUAUAAUAAUUAUUUUUAUAAUAGGUUAUGAAAUAACUAAUUAGCAGUUCAUAAACUCCUCUGUUCUUUCUUUUCUUUAAAUGGAUAUUUUGGGCUUACCUUAACAUUAGAAUGCGCAAAUUUUGUGAAGACUAUGCACAAUUUUUUUAAUACUGUGAUUUCAUGAAUGGUUAAUUUCUCAUGGGUUUACCUUUAUAUUUUCCAAUUUAAUAGAUUUCAGCCGGAUCUGCCUACAUGAAAUUCAUGCACUCUAAAACACCUCGCGAAGCUAACAACUUUCUUUCUUUUUCUUUAUUUUGUCAUACGAGUAACUUUUCCUAAACUUGCAAAUUUGCACUGAAGGGGUGUUUCAUCAAAUAGGUUGAAUUACAUUAUAAGAGUGUUUGUGAGCGAAAGGGAAGAACAUAGCAUAGGAAAGUACCCUUUAACUAUGAUCUUGGUUCACACCUUCAAGUGGAAAUCCUGAUGUUUGAUUGCAGUGUAAAAAUUUGAGUUAAAAAAGAACAAAAAUCUUCAUAGUACUUGUCAGUUGAGGAAGACUGCCCUGAGCUAGUUGUAUCAACUGUUGCCAUGAUGCUGCGGCAGUUCUGGCGUCGUUGAUGAUUGUCUUUGUGGUUGAUGUUCUGUUUGAUUUUCCUGCCUCUGAUGAUUUACAUGCUGUCGACGCGGUUGCUCUGUCAUGUUAACAUUCUGGAUAGAGGAUUGAAUCCUCCAAAUAUUUCUCCAUCCAAUAAAUUCCAUAACCAGAGAGUUGGUACUGAUUGUAAUGCCAAACCCAGUGAAUGAGGAAAGGAGAAUCGAGAGAACUGCAUUUAAAUUGAGCUACAAAAGUGUAAAAAGAUGCAUGUCAAAAUAUAUCUGUUUACUUCCAAAGAGUCCAAAUAUCUUCAUGAAGACAGGGUAGGAACUAUAUCAUCUUACAAUAGUAUAAAAUAAAUGAGCUAAGAGGAUAAGAAUUGCAAACUGGAAGCAGGCAUAAGCCCAAACGAAACUCCUGCUCACUGCAAAACAACAUCAUCACUCGUGUUAAUGAGAAAAUAAUAACUCCGUAUCAUAUGGUCUACAGCAAAGGGAUUAAAGCAACUCCAGAAGGUCUAAUGAGCGCGAAAAUUAGAGUAUCGGUCUCCUAAUAAAUUUUAAUGUCAGCAACAAUAGGACUAUGUCAACUUCUUUUACCAUUUUAUAAAAUCCUAAUCUAGAUAUUGCGGGAGUCAGAAAUUUAUAUCUUUGAACUCAAAGGACUUGACUGUAUUCCCCCAUUUGCAAAAACCCAAAGAAAACUGUUUCUUUGAACUCACCAGAAUUAACUAUAACAAACCCCCCUGCCCAAAGCCAAAUACUUGAAAAUACGUUCUUCCUUGAUAAACCAAUAAUAUUUGGUUGAGAAUGUUAAACUUCUUUGGACAGACCUUAUUACUUUUUCAAUUCUUUUGGUGGUAGGGAAAGCUUACAUAAAGUAUGACAUUUACGAGUCUACUGAGGAAAGACAUACUAAAAAAUAAUUCCUAGCCAAUGGAGGCCAAAACAAUUGUGAUUUAGAUGCUUAUAUGAAUAUACUUUUAGUCCAAUAUUUGUCAAUUAUAAUGCACUGUUACUUUUAGUAGAAUAUUUGUCAAUUUUCAUUGCAUGUAUUCCAUUUUCCUAUUUCAUAAAUGAUUUUUACUGUUGACUUUAACCAUAACUUGCUCACUUAAAAAAAAAGAAACAUAGCAUGCAAUGCCAUGAUAACCUACUAUCUGAUUCUAGCAACACACUAUUAGUAAUUCUUUUCAACACUCUUUCUACUAUUUAUUAAAAUUCACGCAAGUCUUACGGAAUAAUAAAUGGGAUUCGUUAAGUAGGAGAUGAGGCCCACAUCAAUAUCAUCCAAUAGAAGGAAUAUAUUGAAAAAAGUGUUGAGGAUUGUAUUCCUAACAUUCCUCUAACCUUCUUUGAUAUAUUUGACAGUUAUACUUUAGUAAAAUUCAUUUUAUGCUUCAUAAAUAAUAAAAAUAAAAACCAGCAUAAAAAAUGAAAGCAUAAGGGAAAAACUAAGAAAACUUAACAUAAAAUGACUUUGAAAUGCUACACAGAAGAAAACAACUUUACCCAUAGUUGACGCAAUCAUAGAUGAAAGGAGACCUAAAACACAGGCAAAAGGUAAUGAAAUGGCAAGAGCACGAGGGCCCAAAUCUGAAACCUGGUAAACUAGAAACCAUUGGGUCAGGAAUACAUUUCACACGUUAAAAUAUUAACAAAGGAAGACAACACUAGAAUAAAUAAAUGAAGUACAAACAGAAUUAUGUCCAAGUGCUCUCAUACAAAAAGUAUUAUAAGCAUGGACUUCGUAUUGGUAGUAAGUAAUAAAUAGGCAUAGAAACAAUAUCUACAUUUACCCCCCAUAAGACACUCAGGUACAAAAUGAAUUCUAGGCAAUAAUUAAUGAGUAAAUUGAACAAAAUAAUAAAAUGCAAAAAACCCAUUUGUUUAAAUUUGGUCCUGCAAACUACAAGUCACCAUAAACUUCAUUGCAGAUACAAAGAAAAACAUACCAGUAGUUGCUCUAGAAAACAAAAGUAAGAAAGCAUGCUGACCAAGAUAAGUACUGGUACAUCCUGCCAGAUCCUGUCAUGCGUGAAAUAGCCAGAAUCCGUUACAAUCAGAAAAGAAGAAAUUCACUGGUUAUUUGUCAUAGGUUUUUGUAGACCUAACAAGAUGAUAUUUAUGUCAUUUUAGGAUGAGUAUCUUACAUUAACGUGUUAGGUUUUGAUGUAUCUUCUUCUCUUGAGAAAGUACUUUGUUUACCAAAAGCAAAAACAUAAACUAAAAGAUAUAUAUUGUACGUUGUUCAAAUUCAGAAUCAACUGCCUAUGUUUCUUAUACAGCCCAUCAGCCAAGAGAUACGGAGUAGGCUUUUCAGUUUGUUUGAUGGGCCGGAUUGUGCCCCAUAGCUUGGAGCGGAAUCUCUAGAUUAACUUCAAAAGUUUGGCAUGAGCAAAGGAUAAAGUUUUGCUGCAAUGUCUUGUACACUGUUAUCUGUCAUCUUCAUUUAUAUUAGUCCUUUUCCCUUCUACUCGCCUGGCGUCAAGUCUACCUGUGGUGUCUUUGGAUGUUAUAUUUAUGUGCACUCUCAUGAUCCUAAUCUCAUAAAAUUAGACCCUAGAGCUCUUUUAGUGUUUUUAUUAAUUAUUCCCUAAUAAAAAAAGAUACAAAUGUUAUCAUCUAGAGAGCCGCCGUGUUUUUAUCACUUGAAGCAGAGGAGUUUCCCUUCCUAUCAUUACCACAUCUUGCAGGAUGCUCAAAACUAUGACGAGAACACCAAAAGUGGGAUCAAACCAACCCACAGUGAGGAAGAAGACAAAUUCUCAGGCAAAAAAAAAUCAAAGACAACCCACUUUGACUCUAGAGCAAGAAGAGUUUUCUGACUCAGGUUGAUGAAGAUCAUACUUGAUGACCUUAAAAUAAAGGUUGAAAUCCUUGUGCAAUUGGACAAGUCAACCCUAUUGAAAUUGAUAUGGGACUAAGACACCCCAUAGUACCUAAGUUUCUACCAAGUUAUCAAGCAAGGUAGCCUUGAGCGUGAUCCCUAGGGACUAUUGUAUAUCCAUAUUUCACUUGGAUGUGUGAUCUCUAAUACCUAGGUCAAGCGUAUCUAGAGAGGAGUUUCUCGGGGUUAUGUUGCUCUAUAAUACGUAGGUAUAGUGGAUAACUCUUGGGCAAGACUUAAGGACUGAAUGUAGACAUAAUUGACCAGACUCCUUAUUUCUAUGUUUAUGUUUUUGUUAUAUGGGAUGAAAGGUUUUGGACUUACUUUCUACAUCUAUUUUUUGGAAAUUGAAUAUUUUUCCAUCAAAGGUUUAGCACUAAACCUUUUUCAAAAGAACUCAAUUAACCUCCCUCAAGAGUUCUUGAGGUCACUUGGUUAGCAAUGUUUAUUGUAAUCCUCUUCUUUGUAUUAUUUAUUUUCCUUUAAACGAAAAGAGAAUGCCAAACCAUAACAAGAGAUAUCUUCCUGCAACCUAUUUAUAUGUGUGCAAGUAAACUGAAGCUGCAGCCUUUCAGUAUAACAACCCAAAAUAGUUAGAUUUACAACUUUUUAUAGUCUUAUAAUCAGCCCCGCGGCCCUAAUAUCAUAGAUAAACCAAAUAAGAUACUUGGACUUCUAGCCUUGUAUAUUCUAAUAGAUAUCAAAGUCUGGAACACAAGACCUAUAAGAUAAACAUGACAAUAACACUUUAGGUCUCUUCUAUGUCAGUUUAAGUGCUAAUUGAACACACAAAUGACACAAACAGACAUAAUUAAUCAUACCUGUAAUAAGAUACCUCUGCCCGUGGUGGCACAUUUGAUGUCUGCCUAGCUGUAGUGUCACGACUGCAAAUUUUCAACAGUGUUACCGGGAGGUUUUGGACUUCCCGCUUGCAGACAUCACAGGUCCUGUUUCCCUUUAUACUAAACCACUUCACUGCACAUUCCCGGUGAGCAAGUGCAAGAUCACCUCUACAACUGCAUUCCAUCUUAAGUGUAUUCCCUCCUUCCCCAAGCUCCACCAAACAAAUCCUACAAACUGCUUGUUCUUCUGGAAUAUCCUCAGUGUCAUCUUCAAUGGCUGAAAAGGAAAGAACCGAGUGAAAAGACACGACGGAGGACAAGGACAGAUUUAAGCAUAUGGUUAACAAUACCUACAGAAAAAUGAUAAUAGAAACUUGAUCAAAAAAAUUUAAUCAUGGUAAGAAAAAAUCCACUUCCUUAUUAACCUGUUGCUAUUUAAAUAUCAAGUAAUUCUAACUCACAGAAAAACACAAUCUAAUCUAUAAACUAAACCCUAAAAUCAAAAUUAAAAGUUAACAUCAUUAUAAACUUCAUCAGGGUUACUGUUCCUUUCUUUAAUUUGGAGAGUCCACCGCAAUAAAAUGAAAGGACUUUUGGAUUAUAUAUAUCCAGGCAAUCUCCAUUUCCUUUCCUGUAUAUUAAUGUUGCUAAUUUCAUUCAAUUUAUGGUUUAGGGCUCAACUCAAUAUCAAAUACUUGUUGCUUCUGAGAACAUCUGAAAUUUCGCAUAAUGUUGAUCAAGAAGUUUGAAAAAAGUGAUAUUUAUAAGAAAACUUAGUAAAUUCCAUAUAUAUUGCAUGGAAUUACCAAUCUCUGGAACCAAACCACCAUCGCUUGAUUUUCUACGAACAGUUUGCCUUGCUGAAAUUACACGAAUCAAGCCCCUGGAAUCUGUAACCCUUAAACUAGCGGCUUUGCUUUUAACUGGGACUGAAAAUGAUCGAGUAAUAUGCGGAUGACCAUCCAUUUUCUAUACAAGAAAAAGGCAUAUAGUAAGCAACACAUGCUAUUUUUCACUUACAAAAGGUAAAAAAGUAAGUACAGCGUAAAAGUAGUUUGUUUUGGUCUUGAGACAAUAAUGAACAGUGGAAACAUACACUUGAACCAGAAUCACAUACAAGAUGUCUUCCAUCUUCGUUCUCUGAAGCUGAAGUUCCAAAUGGAGUAACUGGCAAUGAGUGUGCACCUUUUAUUGAUGGGGAGAUGACCUUAUUUUUAAGAGACGGAUGAAUGGAAGAUUUAUCCAAAGGAGCAUCUGAUAAGGGAGUUUUAGGAACUAUUAGACCUGCCCUUUCAAAAUCCUGGGAACAAGUAUUUGUCUUGACGCCCUUCUGAGGAAGUAAAGUUCUCAUUGAAGACCUGACUUUGGCUGAAUUUGGCCUUGGAGGAAGUCCUCUACUGGAACCAGGACUUGAUCGUGAAACUGAAGGACCAUCGGUUUUUGCAAAAGUAGAUAAUGCUAUAUCUAGUGACCACGCUGGUAUUUGCAGUGAGGAUAGAUUAGGUCGUCUGGACUGAGGUAUCUUGGGGGCCUUGUCACCCUUUUCAUUUCCAGUACAUCUCUACAAUGCCAAGCCAUCAAACUAAAUUCAGAGCUGGACCUGUUCAUAUUCCUUUUACGAUGACACGGUAUUAUAAUUAAUUAUUACUUUAGUCUAUCCAGUUCAUACUAAAUUGCUAAAACAUUGAUGGUAAUCUAAUGCUAAUCAAUUGGAAAAAAUAUGUAUAUAUAUAUAAACAGAUUAUUGUGCAGUGCAGAACCUAGACUCAUACAUAAAAAAUCAUCUGGAAUGAAAAAUAAAUCGCACAAUUAAAUUAAUAAUCGCAUUACGAUCACUCAGAUCAAACCCAAACCUGGGUUUCUUCUGCGAAAAAAAAAAAAAUAUAUAUAUAUAUAUAUAUAUAUAUAUAUAUAUAUAUAUAUANAUAUAUAUAUAUAUAUAUAUAUAUAUAUAUAUAUAUAUAUAUAUAUAUAUAUAUUUAGAGUAACCUGGGAAGGAUCUGGCACAAAAUCAGCGUCAAAUCGAGGCUGAGCAUCAGCACCGUCACCUCUCUUUUCCAUUCAGAGAAACGCUUUGGCAAAACUGUUACAGUUUCCGCAUCAAAUGCCCAAAUGCCAUAAUGUGUGUUAUAUUUUGAUUUACUUGUGAUUAGCAUUAUAAUAAUGGAAGGAAAAGGAGGUGACAAUGAUGAUACCGAUCGAAACAAGGGUUAGGGUUCCUUUGAUUCAGAUAAUUAAUUAAUUAAUUAAUUAACCAAACUAAAAAGAUUAUUCGCUUUUUUGGAGUUGUUAACUCGCGAUUAUUACCCGCCAACUGCAACUCGUGACAGGCCAACUUUAUGAUCCUUCCACUUCUCCCACGAUUCUCCAUUUUACGUUCUUUUUCUCUUUCCUUCUUCUGCACUUUGCUCACACACUUUUCUUUGAGUCCUCACACGCCUCUUUCAAUUCUUUCCAGUUUUUUUCCAUCUUUUCUCAUCUCACAGAUUCAAUAAAUAUACAUGAAUAAUCAAACGCCACCUAACCUCAUUUUUCUUCCAUGGAAGAACUCAUCUUCCUUUAUUUUUCUCAAGAAAUAAAAUGUGUAUUUGACGUCAAUUUUGUAAAAACAUAUUUAUAGAGUUUAAGGUCUGUAUUAUUUAUUUGUAUAAAAAAAAAUUAUUCUCUAUUAACCCAUAUUAUAUUAUUAUUCUGUAAAAGUUAGUAAUACUUCUUUAUAUAAAUUCUCAUUUAUAUUUUUUGUUUCAAAUAAUAAUAAGUACUAAUUUUAAUAUUUAUUAGGAGAAUGUUUAUUAUAAUUUUAAAAUAUUAAAGUUUAGUUAAAAUAGCUUAUUUUAUUUAUAAACAACUUAUAUAUAUAUAUAUAUAUAUAUAUAUAUAUAUAUAUAUAUAAUAAAUUUAUUGAAAAAAAUUAAUAAUAAUAAUUUAUAAUUAUAAACGUAUUCAACAAUUAGACGCUGUACGUUAAACUAACUCUUGAUUUUAUUACUAAAAUAAAUAUUAACCCAAUAAAAAAUGCCAAAUUAAUUAUAUUUUAAUUUUCAUGAAUUUUUAGUGUUAAAGAUUUGUCUAAAUUCCCCAUCCAAAUAUGGUGCUUUUAAAUAUUAGGAGAACGAUAUGUUUAUUAUAAUUUUAAAAUAUUAAAAUUCACGUAUGUAUUAUAAGGAGGUUUUAUAUCAUAAGUAAUAAAUGUAUGUAAUAAGUUUAUUUUUAUUAACGACGAUUUCUAAUUAAUUAUUAAUUAAAUAUCAAAUUAACCUUCGUAUAAAAACAAAACGUGUUUAGCAUUGCUGUACUUUAAACUAAGACAAUAACUCUUAGUUUUAUUAUUACUUAAAUAAAUAUUAACUCGAUAUAAAGAAAAUUGCCAAAUUGGUUAAAUAUUCAUUUUUGUGAAAUUUUAGUGUUAUGAUUUUGAUAUUAUCACUCCAUCAUAACAUUUUUUAAAUUAAUCAUUAUUAAUUAAGUUGACAAUUUUAUCGUAUAUUACCAAUUUUGUCCGAUUGUCAACUCAAAUAAAUGGAAUUUAAUUGUAUUUUUAUGUGAGACUUGUUAUUUUUUAUGUUAUAAAAUUCAUUUAUAUGAAAGUAGGUUUUGAGGCUGAACUUUGAGUUGAUUUUGGAGAUAAUAACUAUAUACUAUUUAAAUAGUGUGUUUAGGACAAUAAAAUAUUAAUAUUUUGUUUUUAGUAUAAUAAGAAAAAAAAAUACAAGUUAUGUUAAUUUUGCUUAAAUAUCUAUGUUUAUUAAAGAGAAAUAUAAUAUGAUAUAUGAUUAAUUUUGAAGAAAAUUUUGUUUUUUUUUUGUUUUAAAAAUAAAAAGUCUUAGAGGUUCUCAAAUGUUUGUAUAUUAAAGUUAAUUUUCCUUUUCAUAAAUAUGUGUAACAAUUACUAAAUAUGUGUUUAUGUUGUAUAUUGUUGUUGUUUCUAUUUUUUUUAAGCAAAAAAAAUGUGGAACAACUACUUGUUAAAAAUCUACGUAACUUUAAAAAUAUUUAAGCAACUUUCCUAAAACUAUUUAAUUAAGAAGAUACUUGAAUAUUUUUAAGGAGACGUAUUAAAAUAGAGGUAUCAAAACUUUUAGGAAUAUAAACAUGGGAGAUUUAUGACACAAGUAAAACUGAGGUCUCUCAAAUGUUGAACUCAACACAAUUUUAUAAGGAUGAUUAAAAGUUAAAAAUAUUUUUAAAUAAUUACAAGUUUCUUUAUUUCCAAAACCUAAAUUUAUUUGUGAUUUUAUGCUUAUUUUGUUUUGAAUGAUUAUCUAUAUUUAUCUUACUUUUCUUUCAACCAAUCACUUAAUAUAUUUCAUCUAUAAUUAUAUAAUUUUACAGAAUCACAUAAUACCAAUAUCACUAAAUAGGUAAAGAUUUAGAAUACAAAGUCCAAACAUAAUUAGAAUACAAAGUUCAAACGCAAUUUAGUUAAUUAAUUAAAACUAAUUUUGCUUAGAUGACUGGUUUAUUAUAUCAAUUCGAUUUGAUGCAAUGACCAGUGAUAGUUUAAUUUAUAAUGGAGAGAGAAGUUACUAAAAUAAAAAGAAAAAAUAUUUAAUCAGUGAGAAAACUAAAAAUUGAAAAAAAAAAUUAUGAUAUUUUAACAAUUUUUUUAUAAUAAAUUAUGUGUUGUUAUUUUAUUGUUUGGUGAAAAAAGUAAAAAUACAAAAAAAAAUCAUAAUAUUUUAACAAUUUUUUUAAUAAUAAUUAAUCACAAACUAUCACAUAAGUUAUUGUAAAAAAUUAUAAAAGAAAGUCGUUAAAGAUAUCAUUUUUUAAAGAAAGAAGAGAGGAAGGUAAUGGAAAGUUUCAUUUGAAGUUACCAAUAAACUAAUUUUGCUUAGAUGACUGAUUUACUAUAUGAAUUCAAUUUGAUGCAAUUAAUGAAUACUGAUAGUUUGGUUGAUAAUGAAGAGAAGUUAGUAAAAUAAAAAGAAAAAAAUAUUUAAUUGGUGAGAAAGGUAAAAAUGUGAGAAAAAAAUGACUACGAUAUUAUAAUAAUUUUUUUUAUAACAUAUUAUGUGACUAUUUUAUUAGUUUAUAUAUUUAAAACGGAUGAAUCAGAUACUAUCGUGUAAAUAAUUAUCGUAUAAGUAAUUAUAAACACAAAUUAUCAUAUAAACAAUUAUAAAAAUAUUGUAAAAAAAAUUGUUAAAGAUAAUUUUUUUUUAAAAAAAAAAAAAAAGAGAGGAAGGUAGUGGGGAGUUUCAUUUGAAGUCACUAAUAAACUGAAUUGAAUUCAAUGGAAGAGUCCAAGUCAUCCACAACACUCAAAUCAUUCACUCACUCAAUAUUCACAUUUCAACCCAAUGAAGCUGCUGCUUCCUCGAUGCAUCCUCACAAUCAUGCAUUGCAUUUGCAUCUCUCACUCCACCACACAUGACUCACGACACACACAACCUCAAAUUAACUUCUUACUUUUUCUCAUUAACCAAAACAUCAUCGUAAUAUUAUUCAUUUAAUACUACUCCAACCAUGCAAUAUUUUUCUUAAUUAAUUAAUUAAUACAAUAAUAAUCAAGUUGGUCCUUGUGGGAGAGAUGAACACGUGGCCCAUGGAUGAAGGGCGAGGAUGUUUCGUUGAGUUGGUAAGUAUGAGGAUGACUAAUAAGGACACCAUAAAUAGCCCACCAUUGCAAACUUUUCUUCCUUCCUCACCAAACCAAACCAAACCAAACAAAACAAAAACAAAACCAAAUUGUGUUUCCCUCCUUCCAUAACUCAUGUUAACAUGUCCGCUCCUAUUCCUAACGAUCACUGGCUCCAUUUCUAUCAACAAACCCAAUUCUCCGGCGGCGGUCAAGAGCUGCUCCCCUCUUCUGUUUCCGAGGCUACAACCGUCACAACCACCACCGUGGCGCCGGCCCAGUUGAGCCCAGAGGGCGGAGUGUCGAAGCCCGUCAGGCGGCGUUACCGGGCCUCGAGGCGAACUCCCACGACUCUUCUUAACACGGACACCACCAACUUCCGGGCGAUGGUGCAACAGUUCACCGGCGCUCCUUCUGCGCCUGAUCUGUUUGGGCCGACACGUCCACUCCCCGUCAACCCUAAUGGGCUGAUGUUGGCCCCUUCUCACUCUCUUCAGCAGCAGCAACAGCAGCUUUAUCAGCAGCAGUUCUACCCAACAGCGUACACAGAAGGAGCAGAGAACGGUUUGUUUGAGAGAGUGAGCAACGCAACGGGAUCAACAGCGACAAAUGAUGGAGGUGGGGUUUUGAUGGAGCACGCAAGGCUUUUCUUGCCAACUUCCUCUUCUUGAUUCUUCCCACUCAGACUGAGAGCGACAUAUAUGCAAAGCAGAACAGAACUUGGAUAAUUAGGUGCUAACUUGUUGACAAAACCUCCUAUCUGCGUCAAUGUGAAAUGGAAUUUUACGUUUCUUUCUCUGCUGUAGGCACCACAAAUCCAUCUAUCUUUUUUUUUUCUUUUUUUAUUUUAUUAUUUCGAUGAUGAAGAUGAUCGUGCUGUGCUUCUAUAUCUCCUUCUGGGUGUUGCCCCAGGCUUUUAUUUUUAUUUUUUGUUUAAAUCUCUGUAUUUGGUUUUUUCUUUUUUUAUGUAUUUUUAGUUAUUUGGGAGCCUUCUCUUUGGGGGAGUCGUAGUUCCAGAAUAUUUAAUUUAGUUGUUUUGGAUAUGGUCAUUUGGUCACAGCCUGCCAACCAAUACUCUUUUACGUAUGUUGACUUGCUUCCUAUUAUGCCUCUCUCUCUCUCUCUCUCUCUCUCUCUCUCUCUAUGUCUCUCUCUAACACAACCUUAUUCAUGCACUCAAUUUUGUAUUAAUUCAUGUCAAUUCAUAUUUUUUUUUUUAUCAAACUACUUAUCUUGCAACAAUAAUUAUUGGACACUAAGCAACCUAUAUUAAACGCACGAGGGAGGGAUAAAAGAGAUUAAUUUAUACAAGAGGCGAUGAUAUGAUAGAGAUAAAUCAUUGAUGUUGAGUGAGGUGCGUGAAAUGGAGUUUCAACUAUUAAACCUCUGUUUACUAAAUACUUUUUUACAUUCUCUUUUUCGUAAAGCUAACACAAAAUUAUAUCACAUAUAUGCAUAGCAUUCUUUGUCUCCAUAGGCUUUGAUAACGUAAAAUGUGAAAACAACCUUCUUAUUACUCAAAAAAAAUUACAUUAUCAUCUGUGCUUGCACUGUUAACACUUUACUCAUCAUAAAACAAAUCCUAAAUUACUCUGCUUGUACUGUAAAUGUCAACUUUAUGGUUGGAAUUUCAAUAUUUCUAUAGCGAAUUUUAAGUUCAGAUCACUUCAAUUCAAUAUCCAUGGAAGAAUAUUGGACGAGAAGGAUUAAUAAUCCCUUGAAUAGGACCUGUGAGCCUACAAGCCUUAACGAGUUCACUAGUUUGAUCCGGGUAGGUUAGUAUCUUAAUUCAUCCGACUACAAAUAUCCACAUUAUUCUAUAUAUUCAACAAAAAUAUACCCCUGUUUGUUUUAGCACUACGACAAUAAUUUUGAUAUGUUUUGAAAAAGCAUGUUAACGAAUAAGAAUAAGGACAAUGAUACUUUGACAACUCUUUUUUAACAACUUUUUGACAACAGGAUACGUGUCAUCAUUUUAUUGGUAUGUUUGAAUUUAUCUUUAAAAAAAUAUUUGAAACGGACCAAUCAUAGACUGCCACGUAUGCGUUGUCAAAAAGUUGUCAAAAAAGAGUUGUUAAAGAGACUUUUUCCUAAGAAUAAUUUAAACACUAUCAAUUACGUUUAAAUUCAUGCAAUGUAUUUUGCUAUAGGAAGCCAUUUAAUUUUUAUAGCAUACUCUUCAUCUUUUGUGGAAGCUAUUGCAUUUUAUGCCAAGCCUACAAAGUUUACUCCCUUAAAUUGUUAAUAUUGUACAGUAAGCCGAAUUACUACCAACACUUUCUAAAGUAAACGGGCAGCAUCUUGAUAAUACAUAAUUGUUAAUAUUGUACAGUAGUCUGUCUCUCAAGUCAUAAUUAAGGAAGAAAGCGACUCACAAGUUAAUCAAAAUGUACAAUCCAAAAUUACGUGAAUAAAAAGGUCAUUGUAUUUUUCCCAUCUAAAAUAAGCAUAUGCACAAACAACACUUUCACGUAUACCAGCAUUCAACACGCAAAAUUUUUUACCACACCAGCUAAAUGAAAGUUCCCUUGUGCAACUCCAAAUCCCCUAUCCAUGAUAUAAUGCAUAUGAUGUUAUAGAUACUGCAUGGACAGUUGCUAUUGACAUUCUGCCGAGAACCAAACAAUCCAUCGAAGUAUACCUACUUUUUGUUCUCAUCUUUUCCAUUAUUUUGAGGAUUAAGCUCAUCAUCAUUAUAGUAUUCUUCAAAAAAUUCUUCAUCACUGUCAUCCUCCUCAUCAUAAUAAUACUCCUCUUCGUCAUCAUCCUUAUCGACCUUGCCAUUUUCAAGACGAAGUGUGCCAUCACUUGACAGCUGACGUCUUAACCUCUCCUGAAUACGAUCCCUAAUUGCUGUUCCCUGUUUUGUAGAACCAAGUGAUAAGAAAAGACGCGAUGAAGUAAACAAGAAAUUUACGUACACCACAAGGAAGAAUUACAUAGCUUUUUCACAUAAAUUAGCUCACCAUCUUGUGGCAACCUUCUUCAAACAUUUCCAGAAACCCAGCAACCCAACGGUCAGCAUUUUCCACCCACUCAUUCCUAUGCAUACCAGCAGUCUUUGCAACAAUUUGGAUCUGGAUAAACCACACAAAUAUAUACAUCUUUACCGUAAUUAAGAAAAAACAGAUGAUUUUUAACGUAGGAUACUAUUACAUGUUGAAAGGGGAAUACUUGUGUCCGCAGGACAAGUAUUGCCUUACUCUAGAAAAAACAUAGGCUUUCACAUUCUACUUUCUUAAGAAAUAUUACUAUGACCGAAUCCGACAUAAUUUUCCAAAUCACCCAGAUAUACAUUCAGCAAAAUCAACAAUUUGAAAAGGCUGCUUCCUAAUACUGAUUUUAGAAACUAUUGUUAGACAUCUUGUAGCCUUGACAUUUAAGGUGUUAAUGAUAUUGUUCCUUUUGAAAAAAAAAAACAAAAAAACUAUAUAUAGAGACAGACACAGAGAGAAAGAGAGAGAGAUGAAAAAAAUAUUAAAAUAGUAUCAAUUCUCUAUUUUCUUAUACAAGACAACUACGAUAAAGCCAGUCCAUAGUUUUUCACUCUAGUCUUUUCAGUGAGGACAAGAAUCUUAAUCUUGUCCAAAUAUUAACAUGAGCUUAGUAAAGUCAUGGAGAAAAGGUGAAACAAGAAACAUCUAGAAUUAGAAGUAUAGCUUAAAAUAGAGAAUUACGCCAAAUCAAUCAAGAAACUGACUGAUAUUAGUUUCAUGGCAAUGAAUCAUACAACCACUGAUUACCAGUGAAAGUGUCAAACGGUGGUCUAGGAUACCCGUUAGUGAAGGUUUGAUAAAAAAAUUUAGGAAUUGAGAGCAACCAGUUAAAGCUAUAUUUAGAAAAUAAUAUAAAUAUGUAAACUUAGCAUGUGCUCAAAGGCUUGCCAUCCCUGCCCUAGGGCCUCUUCUCUCAUUACAACAGUAAUCAAACAUCAACAAAAACCAGAAAGUGAUGAAACCACGAUAUCUAAUAACGUACAGAAAAUAUGGAAACAAAGACAUAUGAGGAAAAGUAUCACAACAUGAGGACUGCUAUAUUUGGAAAGGUAUAUUCAAUUAAUUUGGUUAUGCCAGGAGUCCAUGUUUCUGAAUUAAUCAUACUGCAUGACUCCUAAGAAGAAUAACGCAACAUAACCACAUGUAAAUUCAGAUAGGGUCACUAAAUUUUUUUGUUGAUUUUACUCCUUAAUCAUGUUUUUGUCUUUGACAAAGCACCCAAAAUACUCAAAUACAAUACGUCAUCAAAACUGUGAAAAUGAACCAUUGAGUCCAAAAACCUGUGGUAGAUGUCCAGCUUCCCAUACCAGUUUGAAUCACAACCGAGAAUAACUAUGAAUUUUUCAAAUAACUUUACUUGACGUUCUCAGCUUCUACUCCAAUGAUGAUUACAUUACAAUAUACAUGCAUUUUCAUCCUAACACUUUCACCCCAUAUAAUUCAAAUAAUUUUUCCCAACACAAGUAUUAAUUUAAUUUGAUUAACCAAAUGAUAUCUAAUAGCAAUACAUACCUUUUCACCAACUUUUUCUUGAUGUUCUUUCACUUUCUCUUGCAAUGUUUUCAACCUUCUAUUCACCCUCAGUCGCUUUUCCUAUUUAAGAUAAAGCAAUGAAAACCACAAGAGACAAGAGUAUUCACCAAAGGAACAGAAAGAGUAACAUCAGUAUAGGACAAAACAUCGCUGAAAGAGGUAUCCUGUUAAAUUUUUAAGUAGAAUAAAUCAAAGAGAUUUAUGCCAAAUCAUGCCUUCACAUAGCUCACGCCAAGCUCAUUUCUUGAGUAGCCACGAUCCAAGUUCCGCAACACAUAUUGGUUAUAAUCUUUGACAAUCCUCAUUAUAACAUCUGACGUGGAUAUUCCUUCAGUCCGUUUUGUUUCCUUAAACCUCCCAACAGAUUUAACCUACACACAAAAUUCACGGCUUAUAGUACAAGCGAAAAGGGAAAGUGACUGGGAAAUAAUAAUUAAAAAAAAAAAACAUUUUGUCAUACAUACAAAUUCAUAAACAUCAUUGGCAGCACCACUGGCAUCAGCAUAACUGUGGACAAUGGGUUGAGAAAUGCAAAAAGGAUGAUCACAUUAUGCAUAUAUGCAAUGAAAUAAAUGGAUCCAAGUUACCAGAUUCACAGGUUAAUGCUGAAAUACUAUUCUUACGGAAGAGAGUCAUGAGCCACAUAGUCAAUGUUGUGCUUGUCAAGAAACUCUUGAUUAAUAACCCAAGGGGCAUCAGGAAUAACUUCGUCCACCCAUCUGCUCUCGAAAUGAAACCAAAUCGAAAUUGAAAUUGCGAUUGAAAUUGAAAGAGCAGAAGCAACAAGGUUCUGUUAACAAAAUAUCAUACUUGCAGUGACGCAGGGAUUCGUAUCGUUCGGCCUCUGUCAUAACAGUUUUGCCUUUGUAUUUGUGGGUGACCUCAUCGUUGCAACAACCAACCAAUAAGUAUGUAUUCGGAAACCUAAAAUUCGAGAGUAAGCAAAAAGUGUUUGUGAAGGGAACCGUGGCGAAACUCUUCCUUCUUUCUUUUUUUACCAGUCUUCAAUUAAUUAGUUGAUUAUUAAUCAUUAAUGGAUUGACAUAAAAUGCAUAAUUGUAAAUGAUUAAUCAGAUCUCGGAGGGAAGGAACGAAAGAGGGUGAUUAAGAUUGAAGGAAGCAGCAAAUGCAAAGGAAUGAAUAGGAGGAAAUGAUGCAUACGAUUUCUUGGCUUGCUCGAGGGAGCGAGCGUGGCCAAAGUGGAAGAGAUCGUAGAUGCCGUCGGCGUAGACUCGAACGGGACGGUCCUCCGGAGGCGACGUCGUUUUGGAAUUCGACUGUUCGCUGUGAUCUGCCAUUCGCCUCUUCUCCUCUGCUCCGCCCCUCUUUUCCUUCGUAAUUUCGCAAACGCCGUAUGCGCUUUUGCUUUCUUCGCUAUUUUUCCCCGAAAUUCUUUUUAUUUUUUCCUUUUUCUUUUAUUAAAGUGUUAUUCUUUCCUAAUCACGACGACUAAAUCGUUGUUUUAUAAACAUUAAUCACUCACCACUUCUUUCCCUCUCCAAUUUUUCUUUUUAAACAUUUAAUAGCGGAAAAUAAAUAAUAUAUAAUAACUUUUAUAUAUAUAUAUAUAUAUAUAUAUAUAUAUAUAUAUAUGAAAAAAAUUAGUGAGUUAACGUCCUUCUUAAAUACAGAAAGUUCUAUUAUUAAAUGUAGAUUAUGACAGUAAUAAUUUUUUUGUUAUCGAAAUUUUACUUAAAGACAUUUAUAGUUUUAUAUUAAUCAUAAUAUCAAUUUAUAUUAACUAUACAAUUUCAUAUUUUCUAAUACACUAAGACAGAUAAAUAAUAUAAAUGAACAAGACGCCGAUUAAAUUAAAUUGUUUUUAAUUUCAGCUUUUAAACAAUUUAAGAUUAUGAAUAUGUUAGAAUAAGUUUCAAGUCGAGAAUAAUGCUUUGAUUCUAAGUCUUUUGAGUAAUAUUAAUAGGAUCUAUCAUCAUAACUUGUGUAUUAUCUGCUUUAAAACUUUAAGCUUCAUUACGAUUAAUUCGAAAAAAAUUAUUUAAAUUAUCAUUCAUAAACUCUUAAGCGAUGUAAAGACAAUUAGGUGUGUAUCAGAAAAUUUUUCUAAGAAUUCUAUUUCAUUCUCGCUUUCUUUUAUUAUUUCAAAUAUAUAAUUUUUAAAAGUUUAAUUUUGAUAUUUUUUAUCAAAUAACUUUUUUUUAAAAAAAAAACUUCAAUAUCAUAAAAUAACAUUGUUGGAUUAAAAUAUAAAAAAUCAAUUAAUAUAUAAUAAGAGAAACAAAAAUAUGAAUCGUGAAAAUAUUAAUAAACUACCAUUAUAAUAAAUAUAUUUCCAUACAACUUUAUAUUAUAAAUUAUAAAAUACCCAGCAUAAAACCUUCACUUUCUUUGUCAUAUCAUUUCCACGCUCUCCUACCAUUUCUGUAUUUGUAUACUUAGUGAAUUUUCAUAAUCGUUUUUAAUAUAUUUUUUUAUCAUUAUUUUAAAUCUUAAUAUUUCUUUUAAAAAUUUCGAUGAUUAAACACAACCUUGUAAUACUGUAAAUCUUUAUGAUAUAAACCCAAAAUAUAUGUUAGAAAAUGUAAUAUCCCAUUAAUAGAUAAAUCCACUCAAUAAAAUAUUAUAAUAGUGAUAAAACAUAGUAGUAAAACAUAAAAUAUGUAAUUUCAUCAUUACAGUUAUCCGGGAAAUAAGCAUAGUAAUAAAAACAUAUUUACAACUUUUACAUUACAAAGUAUCUUAAAAAGAGUUAAACUGUUAUAUAAUAUUUGAAUAUCUAGACACCCAUAGGAUUAAGUAUGUUUUUAGUUCCUAAACUAUCAUUCGAUUUUGAUUUUAGUCCCUACUCGAAACAUCAACGAUUUUUAGUCCUCCUUGCUUUGAAAGUCUCACUUGUAGUCCUUAAAAUUGGACAAUGUUAAAUUUUUUGUGAUGUAGCAAACGGCGAUGGUUUGUCCACUACCAGCUUCCCUCUUCACUGGCUGCCACGUAGGCUUUGAAUUAAAAAAUUAAAUUAAAAAAGUGAAAAUUCAAUUAUAGAAAGGGUAAAACUGGAAAUUCUUAUUAUCAGAAAGCCCUAUUCUCUCACCCCGCCGCCUCCACCUCACCCCCUUGACCACGACGCUCAACCCAAGCAGGGAUAUAAGACCGGAUUUGUGGUAUAAGUACUUACGGAAGAAACAAAACAGAGGCAAAACGCAGCAGGAAUGAUAAGGAAAGAUUAUGAUGAACGUAGCGAAAGAAGUGAAAGCUUAGAGGAAGGGGAUUAGGGAUUAGAGAAUUAGAAAAGAAGGUGUGGGAAAAGAUUUUUUAUAUUAAAGACAACUACGAAAAGUUAUUCUAAAAUAAAAAUAUAUAUCAGGGACGAUUGUGUUAUAGUAGCCGUCAGAAAUUUUUUUAAGAAAAAAAAAAAAGAUACAUGCGGUUUUAAGCAAGAACCGUCAGAAUGUACUGAGGUUUUCCAAAACCCUCCAAAAAAAACCCUUUUAAAAUUAAUAAUUUUUGUAGUGGUUGUAGUUUUUUUUUCCUAUUUAGUCUCAUAAUUUUUAGUUAAAUUUUUUAAAAUUUAAAUUUUAAAAAAUAUAAGUAUCAAAAUUAAAAUUAAAAUAACUCUUAUUAAUAUUUUUUACAUAUUCCAUAUAUUUUGAAAAAUAUAUAUCAAUAAUGUAUCAUAAUAUUGUCUAUUCAUAUCUAAGAUAAUUUAUACUUUAACAAUAUGCCUUUUUUUAUGAAAAGAAAUAAUAUAUCAGUAAUGUUUUAACACUCUUUCUUUUCUUUUAUAUUAAGUUUAAAAAAAGAAAAUAAAAGAAAUAUGAAAAGUAUGAAAAGAUGGAAAAUGGAAAUAAUAUUUAAUUGCAGUUUGUUAGUAAAAUGAUGAAGAUGAAGUUUUGAUGAUGCCCAAAUCAAGUCAAGAUAUAUCAAGAUUCAUGAAGAUCCUUUGAAGACUUAUUUUUGUUAUUAAAAGCUUUUGUAAUAAUUGUAGUUUUAUUGUUUAGGUCUUAGAUUUUCAUUGGUUUUGAUUCCAUGUACUUUCAUACAUUGUAAUUUGUGUUAAGAGUCAAAAUCACAUUGUUUUAAUCGAUUAAAACUAGUAUUAAUCGAUUAAAACGAGUAAAAGCUGAAAACUCAACUGAUAUAGAAAUAAUCGAUUAAUACUUAAUUUAAUCGAUUAGUUAAUCGAUUAAAAUCAGGAAUAAUCGAUUAAUACUAGCCGUUGGAGGUUUCAGAUUUGAAAAACUAGUCGUUGCACUUAAUUUAAUCGAUUAACAGUAAUAUUAAUCGAUUAAAAGCGUUAAAUGGCCAGUUUCGAAGAAUGAAAGAGUUUUUGCUUGAGUCUAUUUAUAGGCUCUCUUUAUCCAUCAACAACAAUUCUUCCCUUGUGCUUAAGAACUCAGAAACUCUUGAGAAGUGUGUGUUCUUGUUCGACUUGUGAAACUCUUAUCUGUGGAGUUGGUGAAGUGCUGCUACGGUGACAGAGGAAAUAGCCGGUUCAUCCUUGGUGCGUCUGAGGAGUUGUUUGGAAGAGGAUCAUCCUUCGUGAAGUAUUCGGAGGAGAUGUCUCAUCCUUUGUGAAGAUUCAAAGGAGGUGCAAGUUCAUCUCUUGUGGUAUCAAGAGAGGUGGUUUCUAAACUUUUACAAAUUGUUUCUUUGUGAUUGUAAUUUGUAAUUGUUUUGUGCUUAGUGAACUGUUUAUCUUGAUUUCAGAUAAGUGACUGGACGUAGGAUUGGUAAGAUCCGAACCAGUAUAAAAAUCAUAUGUGCAAAUUUCUCUGAACCUUACUCUUUUAUUUAUAUUUAUUAUUUGCGUAGUAAGUUUAAUUGAGUAAAAAUUAAAAGGCACGCAUUUAUAUUAAAAUCCCUCUUGGUUUGUUAUUCACACUAACAAUUCCGCUGCAGCCUAUUCUAACAUGAAAAGUUUAAAAGAUGGAAAAUGGAAAUAAUAUUUAAUUGCAGUUAAUUUAUUAAUGAUUAGAAAAGAGGAGAUGAAAAGUUGAUGCUAUAGAAGACCAUAGUUUUAGGGGUCAUGGGGGCUUAACCCAACCAUACUGUAGUGCCAACCCAUUUAAUGGGGCUAGCGAAGCUAAAGGCUUUGAAAAGGCCCCCUAUAGUGUGGGCCAAAAAAAUGGGGGCUAGUUCUAUGAAAGGCCAAGGCUGGCCUUGGGGCUCUUGGGAAAAUUGACAGCUCUAAACACACAUAUACACUCAUGCACGUGCAUGCACACAUAAACACAUGAACACACACAUACACACAUAUGCGUAUGCAUGCACACAUACACACAUACAUAUGCACAUGCGUGCACACAUGCAUACAUACUCACAUUCACACAUGCAUACAUGUACACAUACAUACACGCAUACAUAUGCACAUGCACAUUUGCACACAUGCAUACAUGCAUAUGCACAUGCACGCACACAUGCAUACAUGCUCACACGCAUCCAUGCAUACAUACAUAUGCACAUGCAUACACAUGCAGGCACACAUGCAUACAUUUUCUCAACUAUUUUUCGUUGUCAGUUUCCUAAUGGGUUAUACUGAUUUUGUUUUUAAUUUUACGCGGUGAAAACUAUUUAACGUCGAUGAAUUUAAGAUUAGCAUCGAUUAUAGAUUUAGCUACUUAGAAAAACAUCCAUAGUUAUGGCAUUAUUCUUUUCGCUGACGACACCUGUGGAGAUUGCAAUUGGUAUGAUAAUUAGUGGCAGUUACAAGAAGGAAAGUCUCUCAUUGUAGAAGGUAUUCUUAAUGCAACAUCAGCAGGUAUCUUAAUUUACAUGUCACUAGUGGACCUUCUUGCGCCCGAUUUAAUGAAUCCGAAGAUCUAAGCAAGUAGCAAGCUUCAGAGUGGAGUUAACACAUCUUUGCUUAUUGGGGCUGGGUGCAUGUCACUUCUUGCAAAAUGGGCCUAGGACCACUCUCGUAUAUAUAUACACCUUUCUUUCUACUUGUAUUUUUGUACCGUCUCGCAUUCAUCUCUUCUUGUAAUAGUUCAUAUUUUACAACACUGUUAUUCUUAUGUCAAUAUUUUGUUGCCAAAUACAAUAAUUUGUUUUAAGUGUUUCUUAACUUUUUGGAUUUCUUUUUUUGAUAAACUCCUAAAUUUAAGUUGAUCAUUUUUAAGUAUAUAAAUAAGUAAAUAUUCAAAAUAGUUAUCCGUGUCUAGGGAUGACAAUGGGUCGAGUCAGGCACGAAUAAUGCUUACCUGCAACCCGACCUGACAAAAAAAAUCAACCCGCUACGCGUACAAAUAUCCGCUUAAAAAAUGUCCUCGGGUAUUUUAAAACUCGCGGAUACCCGUGGAUACCCACAAAUAUUUAAAAAAAAUAUUUUUUAUAAAUUAUUAAAAUAAAAUUACAAAAGAAAUAUAAAAUUUAAUAUAAAUUAAAUAAAAUAUAAAUUAAAAUUUUAUUUUAAUUAAAUUUAACCUUAUAAAAUAUAAAUUAAUGUUAAUUUUAAUUAAAUUUAACUUAAUAAAUUAUAAUUAAAUUUUUAUUUUUAUUUUUUGCGGGUAGCGGAUAUCCGCGGAUACGUAUAAUAUAAUACACGCACUCGACCCGUUUAUAAGCGAAUAUUUUAAAAAACCCACUACCCACAACCUGUGGGUAGUAAAUAUCUACAGGCGCGAAUUUUUUUGUCAUCCCUAUCUGUGUCUCAUCUUCGUCAAUCAUAUCUAGAGAACCAGGUCGGCAGACUUUUGUUUGCAAUAGUAAUUAGGAGUCUAAGUUCCACAUUAGAUAGAUAGAGAUGAGAAAGUAGAGUAGGAUAUAAAAGUGAAAGAAUCAUUAACACAUAUUCUUAAGGUUUUGGGUAAAGAGUGAUGUCAAUCCCUUAUGUGUCAGAUCUCAUUGGUGACAUCAGAUCUGUUGUUUAAUAACUUAAUUAACACGUAAUAUAAAAUUAAAUAAUCAUAUAUACAUGCUCACACACAUCAACAUGAGGCUUUCCAGUGUGUUUUGUCCUCACUCACACACUUUCCAAACACUUUCCAAGAAAAGUUCCCGGAAGGUCACCCAUCCCAUAAUUACUCUAGGCUAAGCACGCUUAACCAUGGAGUUCAAAUGAGUUAGGCUAUCGAAAAACAAAUGCAUUUGUUGAUAUGAGUAGCCAAAUCAAUUCCUUUAAACUAUCCUUCAACCGUAUUGUCCCAUACCUAUACAAUCUCUAGAUCCCUCUCAUUCCGGUGUAUGUUCGAUUCGUUCAUGUGCCCCUUCCACUCGAAGCCUGCCAGGAGCUGCUCUUUGUCCGUGUCCCCUGCACCAUGCUUCUUCCACCGACGAUCACUCUCUGCCUUCGUCAGUGUCCAGGUGUCACAUACACAUAUGCACAUGCAUACACACAUGUACACAUACAAACAUGCAAACAUACACACAUGCACACAUACACAGAUACAUACAUGCAUAUCUGUAUAUACAUACAUGCAUACAUGAACACAUAUACACAUGCACGCAUACACGCAUACAUAUAUGCAUACAAAGUUUAAUUUCGAUUUUUUUUUAUCUUGAUACUUUUUCAAAUUAAACAUUUUUUUUUGGCUAAAACUUGAGUGUACACAUAUACAUGUAUACAUGCAUAAAACUUUCACUUUCUUUAUCAUAUAUCAUUUCCACGCUCUCCUACCUUUUUUUAUUUGUAUACUUAAUUAAUUUUCAUAAUCGUUUUUAAUAUACUUUUUUAUCAUCGAUAUUUGUAAGUGUGUUUGUAAUAAAUAAUUCGUUGUAAUUAUUGAUAUUUUUCUCUCAAAGAUGAUUAAAAUUUAAUAUAAAAGUAUAAAUUGAAAUAGACCCAAAAAUUAAGAAAAAAAAACUAUUUUGUUCUUUUGACUGUUGAGGUAUAACUGAUACAAUGUUAUAACAACAAUAUUUCACAAAAUUAACAGUAUUAUAUUAAAAUAAAAUAAAAUAUGAAUCUAUAUUUUUUUUAAUGUAAUUUCAAUUUCCUUUUCUACAACAUGCUUUAUGUCAUGGGAGUGUGGACAUGGAAAUUGACCUUGAGAGAGACUAAUUAAAAGUCUCCCAUGAAUUUAAAUUAAAAAAGAAAGUGCACUAAGUUUAAGUAUAUAAAACAUAAUUGAAAUAAUUCUUCAUUUAGUCAUUUCAUUCGUAGCCAUCCAGUAUUUUUGUAUAGAUAGGGUUUCCUUUUUCCUUCCAAGAAAUUUCUGCUUAAACCCUUCUCUCUCUUUAUUCCGUCCACAGAAAUGAGCAAAACUCACCCACAUUGUCGACGUGACAUCACGUGGAUUUUACUCUUUCUGCUUCUUGCUCUUCUUCUUCCGUGUGUGGUUGAUGGUGACGGCGAUGGCGAUCAGUGUAAAUGCAAAAGCGAUAAAGAAGAAGGUGGAGAAAAGAUUGACAAGAAUUUGGCCAAGAAGUACAAAAUCGGAGCUCUUGUUUCGAUUCUGGUUGCAAGUGCAGUUGGCGUCAGCCUUCCAAUGCUCAGCAGAAUUUUACCCGCCUUGCAUCCGGAGAAGGACUUCUUCUUCAUGGUGAAGGCCUUCGCGGCUGGGGUCAUAUUAUCAACCGGUUUCAUUCAUGUUUUGCCAGAUGCUUUUGAAAAGCUGACACCUCCCAGUCUCUGUAAUCAUCCCUGGGACGAUUUUCCGUUCGCCGGAUUUGUGGCAAUGGUGGCAGCCAUCGGAACGCUUAUGGUUGAUUCUCUUGCGACUGCGUAUUUUAAAAAGUCCUCGCUAAGCGCCAUGGACCGAGUUGCUGACGAAGAAGAUCUGCAUGAACAUAAUCGCCAUGCAACUCAUCAUUCUCAUUCUCAUUCUCACGCUUCCAUGUCUUCUCCUUCCACGAACCUACUUCGCCAUCGCGUUAUUUCUCAGGUAAUUAUUAAUAAUUCUCAGUAUAACAAUAAUUCAAUAUGUUUUGUCCUCACAUCAUUAUCAAAAUACAAGUGGGUUCUCCUACUAUCUGCCACCCUAGUUUUACUUCAAUUCCUUAUCUCUCCUUAAUUAUUAUUCUUGGCAUGUCCAAUCACUGUUCGAAAGUUUUUUUUUUUUUUACCUUUUUUUAAUCAAAUCAAAUAAAAUAUAUAAUAUUUCUUUACAUUUUUCUUAUUAGUGAAAUUAUUUUUGAUAAUUUUCGUAACGAGAUAAGAACAAGACGUUGGCUAAUGAAGUUGUCAUGUGGAAAGAAAUAUAAAAUAACAUUAACAUAUAAAAAAAUGAUCGUAGUUUUAUAUCACGUUACUGAGAAUCUUUGGCUGUUUUUUUUCUGUGUAUUAUAAUUUAGGUUUUGAUGUUUAAAUAUUGCAGGUGCUGGAGCUGGGGAUUGUGGUGCAUUCUGUGAUAAUAGGGAUAUCUCUGGGUGCAUCUGAAGAUCCUAAAACGAUAAGACCUCUUAUUGCUGCUUUAACUUUUCACCAAUUUUUUGAAGGCAUGGGGCUUGGUGGUUCCAUCUCACAGGUAUUGCAAUUUUCUUUAUUCUUUUGCUCACUGAUUUGUAAUAUUAAUCCAUCGUAAUGUUUUUGGGAACUGAAUUCUUUAUAUGUCUUAAUCAUGCAUAUUCCAAAUUAAUAUAAGCACAAGCACAUAAAAUGAAUAUAUAUAUAUAUAUAUAUAUAUAUAUAUAUAUUCUUCUUUUAAAAAUGUCCUAAUAAUAAUAGGUUUUUGUACUUAAAAUAAUAUUAUUUCGAAUAUUUCAAAACUUCCGAUGAAAAGUCAAUGUUCUUGGACGAGUAACUCCGUCUGAACCAUGCAUGUUUUUCUCAAGUUUUUUUCGUUGUCAGUUUCCCAAUGGGUUAUAUUAAUUUUGUUUUUAAUUUUACGCUGUGAAAACUAUUUAACAGGAUGAAUUUAAUAAGAUUACAAUCUUAUAUAGAUUUAACUGCUUAGAAAAACAUCCAUAGUUAGUAAUUUUUCAAAACCAAUACUGAAACAAUGUCUGUACUAAGCAAUCAAUUAAUUAAUAUCUUUCAUUUUCAAUGCUUUAUAUCUGCGUAGACAUGUGAUGGUAUUGGAUGCAAAUCGCUUGGCUUGAAUAAAAACGUACCAGACACCAUAAAUAGUUGACUUGUGGUGUGGCUUAGCCAGCGUAUAGAUAUGGUGACACCACUGCUUAAAGAUUCUAGUGAAUCCGAACAUUCAAAGCAACAUGACUAUGGUUGUUAUUGGAGUCAUCCAAGGAAGUAUGUCGGCAGAUUUAUAUUUACAAUAGUGUCUUAGUUUAUUAUUGAAGACCAAUUUAUAAUAUAUAUAAAUAGGUACAAAUUUAUUUACACGUAUGUUUUAUGUUUUUGUUUUAUAGAGUUAAAUCAUGGUUAAAAUUCAUUUUUCAACACAUCAAUAUGAAAUUUGAUAUUAGAUUUGUUAUGUAAUAACUUAAGUAACCGUGUUUGUGUUUAGGCAAAUUUUAAGAGAGGAGCAAUUAUAGUUAUGGCGUUAUUCUUUUCGUUGACAACACCUGUGGGGAUUGCAAUUGGUAUGAUAAUCAGUGGCAAUUACAAGGAGGAGAGUCCAACGGCUCUGAUCGUAGAAGGUAUUCUUAACGCAGCAUCAGCAGGUAUCUUAAUUUACAUGUCAUUGGUGGACCUUCUUGCGCCUGAUUUAAUGAAUCCAAAGAUCCAAGCAAGUAGCAAGCUUCAUAUUGGAGUUAACACAUCUUUGCUUAUUGGGGCUGGGUGCAUGUCACUUCUUGCAAAAUGGGCCUAGGCCCACUCUUGUAUAUAAUAUACCUUUCUUUCUACUUGUAUUUUCAUACUUCAUCUCUUCUUGUAAUGUUCAUAUUUUACAACAAUGUGAUUAUGAUGUCAAUAUUUUGUUGUCAAAUACAGUAAUUUGUUUUAAAUGUUUCUUAACUUUUGGGAUUUCUUUUUUUGAUAAAUUCCUGAAUUUAAGAUGAUCAUUUUUAAGUAUACAAAUAAGUAAAUAUUCAAAAUAGUUAUUUGUGUCUCAUCAUCAUCAAUCAUAUCCAGAGAACAGGAUCGACAUAUUUUUGUUUGCAAUCGUGUUUUAAUUAGACACUGUAGACUUUUGUUGAGAAUACUAAUUAGGAGUCUAAGUCCCACAUUAGAUAGAUAGAAAUGAGAAAGCAGAUUACCAUAUAAAAGUGAAAGACUCAUUAACUCAUCGUCUUAAGGUUUUGGGUAAAAAGUGAUGUUAAGCCCUUAUAUUUCAGAUCUCAUUGGUAUUAUAUCUCCUUGGAGAUAGACAAAACAACUUUGACAUUAGAUCUGUUGUGUAAUAACUUAAUAAUGCGUGUUUGUGUUGAGGCAAAAUUCAAGAGAGGAGCAAUUAUAGUUAUGGCAUUAUUCUUUUCACUGACGACACUUGUGAGAAUUGCAAUUGGUACGAUGAUUAGUGGCAAUUACAAGGAGGAGAGUCCAACGACUUUGAUUAUGGAAGGUAUUCUUAACGCAACAUCAAUAAGUAUUUUAAUUUACAUGUCACUGGUGGACCUUCUUGCGUCCGAGAUUUAAUAAAUCCGAAGAUCCAAAUAAAUAGUAGGCUUCAGGUUGGAGUUAACGUAUCUUUGCUUAUUGGGACUGAAUGUAUGUCACUUAUUACAAAAUAAACCUAGGUCUACUAUAUAUAUAUAUAUAUAUAUAUAUACUUUUCUUUCAACUUAUAUUUUCAUAUUGUCGCAUUCAUCUCUUCUUGUAAUAGUUCACAUUUUAUAACAUUGUAAUUCUAAUGUUAAUAUUUUCUAACCAGAUAUAAUAAUUUGUUUUAAGUAUUUCUUAAUUUUCAAGAUUUAUUUUAUCUUUUGAUAAAUUCUUAAAUUUAAAUUUAACAUUUUUAAGUAUAUAAAUAAAUAAAUAUUCAGAAUAGUUAUCCGUGUCUCAUUCAUCAAUCAUAUUACAUUGACAAAAUUUUAAAAAACUUAAAUUAUACAAUUAACAAAUUAGCUGUACAUUAACAAGGAAAGAGAUACAGAAAUUAAGGAGGAUUAUAUACACUAGACUAUAUACAGUAUAUUCAUAUAUUCUAAAAAAUUAGAAUUUGUGUUAAGAAAAAUUAAUUUAUCAGUGUGAGACCAUAAUUAAUUUUAUAUUCAUAUAAAAUUAAAUUAAACAACAAUUAAAUUAAACGCGUUCACUUAAUGGGCCGAGCCCAUGAUGUAGCGCGUAUUAAUGGUAGGGGGUGGAAACAGAAAAGUUGAGCUCGAAAAGAAAGAGGAACAAUAAACAGAAAGUAUAAAAUUUUGAUUUAUUUUGGAAAUGACAUUAAUGUAAAAAUCGAAGGUUUGGGAGAAGGAGAAGGAGAAGGGAGCGUGAUCCUAGCAGCGGAAGGCGCGAGCGAAUCGAAGGCAAUGGUAAAGUUUCUUCCAGAUUCUAAGUACGCUAUAUUUUCGAUCCAGCUUUCUCAUUCUUGCUCCUACUUUCUAGAUUCAAUUCUUAGAUUUUGCAUCAUACCACAAUUAUAAUUACCCAUGUCAAUAAACCAACUCAAUCACCCCACAAAUCACUUUUCUUGCCGCAAAAUCCAUAAAAUCUGGACUUGACGAUGUUGAUUCAUGGUUUCAAGACAAACGCUCUUUCGUGUUUUGACACUCAAUCUUGAAGGUUGUUUAUUUCGUCUUUUUUUGUAUAUGUAUUAGAUUGUUGGGAUAAUUGGACUUUUUUCCCUAAUGCGAUUAGGAUACUCCUAAUAACUUGUCUUUUCAUUCAUGUUUUUAUGAUCUACACCUUGCAAGCGCCAUUUUUAUUCUUUUACUAUCACAUUCUUUCGUUAUGUAUUUCCAAUUUCAACUUGCUUUAUCCCUCCUCUUCUUAAAUGUAGAUACACUUUGUGCUACUCAUUAGUCGUCAGGGGAAGGUCAGGCUCACAAAAUGGUAUUCUCCUUACUCGCAGAAGGAAAGAAAUAAGGUAAGAUGACACCCUAAUCACUGUGUUUGGAUGAAAAUUAGUGAAGUACUUUUGCCAAUUCCACUGUGCAAAUUGAAUAAUGAAGAAAUUGAACUUUUGAGAGUAAAAGAUGUACUUAGUUAUUUAGUUCUUCAAAUUUUCCCAAGCUCCCCUCGUUCCCUUUGGUAUUUGUUAUUUCAGGACUGACUUCUACAUAUUAUUCUUUAACUUGUAAUCUUUGUACCGCCUGCACUGUGAUGGACCUGUGCAUGAUGGCUUACUGUGUCCUACUUAAAUCAUCCUUGAUACAUGAUUUUACAUGCAAUUUAUUUUUUACAAGGCUAUCCGUGAGAUCAGUGGCGUGGUUCUUACACGUGCUCCCAAGCUCUGUAAUUUUGUAGAAUGGCGGGGACAUAAAAUUGUUUAUAAAAGGUAAUUUACAAGUGUGUAUGGCCGUUUGUCAUAUACCACUACUUACUCCUUUGCAAAACACUCUUCUGUCUGGCUAUUUUCUAACAAAUAUUUGCUGCAGGUAUGCUAGUCUUUAUUUCUGCAUGUGUAUUGAUGAAGAGGACAACGAAUUAGAAGUCCUUGAAAUAAUUCAUCAUUUUGUAGAGAUUCUUGAUCGGUAUUUUGGCAGUGUGAGUUCUGUUCAAAGCUGACUUUUGGAGAAUACUGCUUUAUUCACAUAUGAAAAUAGUAUCAUUCUUUCUAGGAAGGGAUGUAAGGAUUAAUGGUCGCUUCACUUUUGCAGGUCUGUGAACUGGACUUGAUAUUCAAUUUCCACAAGGUUUGUCUGUCUGUCUGCGGCUACUUUGUAACCUUUAACCUGUUCUCAUUAUGAAUUAAUUUUGAAGCUGAAAUCACCUUAAAUGGGCAUUAAUAAUUGAUCAUAUGAACUGCCUCAUUUUCUUGGGGUCAACCGAUUUCUCUUCUGACAAAUGUUCUUGGUUUUGUUUUAUCAUGGAAGGCCUAUUAUAUACUUGAUGAACUUCUAAUUGCCGGUGAGCUUCAGGAGUCAAGCAAGAAAACUAUUGCACGGUUAAUAGCUGCACAGGUAUGCAAUGUUCUUUCUCUUUCAGAAAUAUUUGUGUCAGCAGUUUCUUCCUGGAGAGUUUUGUCUGAUGCAAUUUUAUAUGAAAAUGGUUUUCAGGAUUCAUUGGUGGAGACUGCCAAGGAGGAAGCCAGUUCAAUAAGUAAUAUAAUUGCCCAAGCCACUAAAUGAGGAAAUCCCAUGUUCCAUUUGACAUUUUGGGGCAUGGAGCCCUGUUUUUAUUUCUGUUAUGUUGAAUGCUUGAUUCUGUUUUUGUGGUGCAAUAGAAAGGGACAUAAACCAAGUGUGUUUGUUAACAGGAACAUACGAUCUUCUCCAUCUGAAUUCUAAGGUUGGCAAUUUCAUACAUAUAGUUCAUUUUUUUCAGGCAAGAUUGCGUGAAUGGGUCUUCUUAUACCCUUAUAAGAAGGACAUUGAAUUUUGAAAGACCUUUAAUUACUUAAAGGGUCAUUUCUUCCCGUAUCUCCGUAAUUUCAAUCUCUAUCAUGAUAAAAUUUGUAUUUUGGAAUUUAUAAUCUUGAAUAUUAUUUUUAAUAUUUCGCAUUAUAUAUUUUAAAAUACAAAAUAAAAAAAUACAUUUUAAAUUGUAUAGUUCUUAAAAUACAAAUAUAUUUUAGAUUGUAUAUCUUAAAAUGCAAUUUAUGUUACAUUGCAUUAUUUGAAAUACAAAAAUUUGAAGAAAUACAAAAAUUAAAAUUAUGGAAGUGCAGAGAGAAAUUGCGCUCCACCAUAACUUUUAAUAAAUUAAACAGACCAGAAAUUCCGAAAAAUUAAAAAGAAAGGAAGAGUCCGUAUUUAUUUAUUUUAUGAUCUCGUCUUUAUAGUAUUUGUUUCCGUUUUAGAUAAUUAAAAUAUUCUGUAAUUUAAAAGAUUUAUUCUGACUAAUAAAUCUUUUCCUUUAUUUUAUUUUUAAAAAAAAAUCUGAUACAAAAUUUGUAUUCUCUUUUUUAAUUAUUUUUCACAUUCAUCGAAUUUACAAUCUUAACUGUACAUUUCUUUUGUAGUUUUAGUUAUACAUUUCUUUUAAUCUUUUAUACGGUUUUUUGGUUGUAAAAAACAUAAAAAUUAGAGUUAUCAAAUUUAAUCAUCAGAUAUAUAUUUAAUCAUUUUUAUUUUCUUAUAUUUAUACUUUUAAUUUAUUAGAUACCUUAAAAAUUUAUUUUCUCUCUUCCCUAUACUUUGUUUUGUUUGAAAGGAACUUUCGUUCUGUAAAUCUUCCUUCGGUUUAAAUGUUCACUCAAAUUAAUGGAAUAUUUUACUUCUUAACAUUUCUAAAAAUAGUAAACAUUAUUAUUUAAUGUGAUAUUUUAUUUCGAUUUUAUUAAUAUUUGAGAGUAUAAAAAAGAAAAAAAGAUUCCAUAGGCAUGGACAAGAACUGGUCAUUGAAUUUUGGGACUGGUAAUUGAAUUUUGGGACCAGCAGAGCAGGCGUGCACUCCAAAAACCAUCACAAAACAAUGCUGUCCUUAAGUUUCUUCUAUAAGAUCUUCCUUUCCCUUAUCCUUCCAAUGACUUUCAUCACCACAGCUUCCGAGUGAGUGAGUGAGUGAACGAGUCAGCAACAUGGAAAAAGCUGCACGACUCGUCUUCAUCCCUGGUCAAGGAGUGGGUCAUCUCGCCUCCACCAUUCAGUUCGCCAACCUUCUGUUAGAGCGCCACCACCAUAUUUGGAUCACUCUCUUUGUAACCGAACUACAAUCUGACACCACAACCGCUGCUUACACUCAUUCCCUUAACUCCAACCGUCUUCAGCUCGUCAACCUCCCGGAAACUCCAUCCGACGCCCCACUAACUCCGAUGAAAAUAAUCGAACUUCAAAAGCCACACGUCAAAGAAGCUGUCUCCAACCUCAGCCCCACACCCCCACUCGCGGCCUUCGUCAUCGACAUGUUCUGCACCGGCAUGAUCGAUGUCGCCAAAGAGUUCCACGUCCCUUCACUCGUCUUCUUCACCUCUGGUCUUGCUUUCCUUGGUUUGAUGCUUCAUCUUCACACCCUCAAGGAAGAGGAGAACGCCGAGUUCACCGAGCCCGACGCCGAGUGGGUCAUCCCGAGUUUCGCGAAGCCAGUCCCAACACGGAGUUUACCUUCCAUAGUGCUGCGGAAGGAGUGGGAGGAGUUUUUCGUGGCCUACGGGAGGGGCCUCAAGAAAGCUGACGGCUUCAUAGUAAAUUCAUUCGAGGAGCUAGAAUCCCAUGCGGCACACUCUUUCCUUGACGGGCCUCAGCUAGUUUUUGCAGUGGGACCCAUUCUAAACCCAAAGCCCAAGCUCCAUCCCCACGCUCCCGCCGACAACGCUGACAUCUUCGAUUGGCUUGACAACCAACCCCCUUCCUCCGUUGUGUUCAUGUGCUUCGGGAGCAUGGGUUCUUUUGCUGAGGAUCAGGUGAGGGAGAUCGCACGGGCUCUUGAAAACAGUGGGGCCCGUUUCCUGUGGUCCCUGCGGAAAGCUCCACCCAAGGGCUCUAAUUUUAGGACCCCGCCCUCUGAUUACGCUCCCUCCGAAUUGCCUUUGAUUUUACCUGCGGGCUUCUUAGAUCGGACGGCAGGGAUUGGAAAGGUGAUCGGGUGGGCCCCUCAGGCCCAAAUACUGGCCCACCGAGCCACCGGAGGGUUUGUUUCUCACUGCGGCUGGAAUUCUACCCUUGAGAGCAUACAUUUUGGUGUGCCCAUUGCGACCUGGCCGCUUUACGCCGAACAACAGACGAACGCAUAUUUACUGGUGCGUGAGCUGGAGAUUGCUUUGGAGAUUUCGUUGGAUUACAGGGGUGAGCGUGAGUCCAUGAAUGAAACUCCCAGCUUUUUGAAUGCGGAGAAGAUAGAAAAUGGAUUAAGGAAUUUGGUGGAGAUUGAUGAUGAGAAAAGGAAGAGAGUGGUGGAAGCGAGUGAAAAUAGUAGGAAGACAUUGUUGGAAGGUGGAUGUUCUUACUCUUCGUUUGGACGUUUGAUUGAUUACGUAAUGAAUCAGGUUUAGCUAUCCUUAUUCUAAUCAAUCCUAUGUAUUAUUCCAUGCACAAUAUGUUUCUUCGAACGAUGCUGUUCCAUAUUAUAUUUGCAUAUUAUAUUAUUUUUAUUUGAGGAAAAAGUCUCUUUAACAACACUUUUUUUGACAAUUUUUUGACAACGCAUACGUGGUAGUUUAUGAUUGGUUCGUUUCAAAUAUUCUUUUAAAAUAAAUUUAAACAGACGAAUGAAAUGGUGACACGUGUUCUGUUGUCAAAAAAGUUGUCAAAAAGUAUUGUUAAAAUAUCAUUCUCCUUUAUUUAAACUAAUCAUAAACUUAUUUUCCAAACUAUAGCAAGCAUUCACUUUUGUAAUAAUAAAGAAUAAUAAAAUUAUAAUUAUAAAAUCGAAUAUAAAUAAUUAGAUAUAAAAAAGAAGAACCGUCAUCUUUAUAUAAUAAUAUAGAUAAUAAUAUGUAUUAACAUUUUAAAUUAAAAAUAAAAUAAAUAUAUAUUUUGAGUUGUGAACAACAUUAUCACCUUUUAUCUUAAUUAGAACCACGGUUUUCUAACAAUAAUAAAAAAAAAAGCCUAAAAGCAAGUACACCUCUAUUGAACUGUAAAACGAAAGCUUAUUGCUUUAGAAAACAUAGAUUAAAUGAUUUUUUUAUAUCCAAAAAUAAUUAAGGUAAAAUAAAAAGGGUUAAAUAUGUUUUUAGUUCUUUGGGACGAUUUUGAUUUUAGUCUCUUUUUCAAACUAAGGUACAAUUUAGUCUUUCAACUUUAAAAAACUCUUAUUUUAGUCUUUUUUAUCAAAUAUUUUUAACUUUAUUUGUUGUUUCAAACACAAUUCUCAGUUAACAUUAAAGCAAAAAUGUGACAAACAGUGUAAACAAUCCAAAUAUUAUAAUGAAACAGCAAAUAAAGUUAAAAAAAUUUGGUAAAAAAGAACUAAAACCAGAGUUUUCUAAAGAUGAAGGACUAAAUUGUACUUUAGUUCAAAAAAAAGACUAAAACAAAAAUCGUCCCAAAGUAUAGAAACUAAAAACAUAUUUAAUCCAAAUAAAAACAAGCCAGAAGUAGGCUCCAACGAGAACAAAAUUGAUAAACAUUUAAGUCCAUUUUCCACGCAAAUCUCAAUAAUAUCAGAGUCUGUACAUAUGUGACCUUCAGGAAUCCAAUCCUUUAACAGCUUCUUCUGACCCAACAUAUCAGGAAUCCAAACCCUCCUUACCCACUUCAACUCUAUGCCGCUUCAGCUUCCCGCGUCCACUAUCCUCUUCUAAACCCUCUGCUAUACUACUUUCUUUAGCAACACCAUCGAUCAUUGCAGCCUCUUGCAAUGCCAUUUUCUCCUCGUCGCAAAAAAGGGCUUUUGAAGCAGAAGGGUCUUGCUCUGUAACACCCUUAUCUCUAUCAAUACCAUCGUGGUUAACUUCGCUCAAGGAGAGGGAGGGGUCUUGCUGUUGCUGCUGCUCCUCCAUAAUAACAACAGUUGCAGUUUGCUUCAAAACAGAUAUUCCUGACCUUUUGACACUAAUUAUUACCCUAUCCCAAUCUCUCAAAUAAAUGUAUCAUAAGCCUCGUAGACUUGUUCAUGAGAUAGCAUCUCCACUAUCAUACAAAAUACUUCAUUCGGUUCUUAAUUAUUCGUUUUCAGUUCAUUCAAACUGUGCCCUGAUCAGUGACCACAGCCAAAUGCUGCAUUUAAAAGCUACAUCGUGUAAAAAGUGUCGAGUUGAAGAGCUAUACCUCUAUUGAAGUAAUAACCACAGCAUUUGUUGAUUCAGGAGCAAAAAGUAGAAUCAAAAUUGUUACUAUUCAGCUGCACAACCGUGCUGUGCAUGAAUUGAAUAUGUUUUUCAUCAAUGAAAUAUUGUUUCAAAUGAAUGACCAAUGACAGCUCUAGUCAUGUGCACACUGGAUGAACUUAUGCGGGUAGCGUUGGUCAUAAUCAAACCUAACCGACAUCUAAUCUGAUAAAGUUUGGCAUAAUUUAUUUCAUUUCAGUCACUUGAUUCCAAAAUCCUGUUUAAGUUUGAAUUGUAGCCUGGCUUAUAACCAACAUCCAUCAUGUCCCUAGUCAAUAUGUCCAAGAUAUAAUAUAUCUCACCGCUUAGAGGGUGCUUCUCGUCUCUAGUUACAAAGUAGUUCACAGACCCAGCAAUUUCAACCCAGCUACAUGCCAUUUCCUUUUGCAAACCUUUUUCCUUCAUAUGAUUUCUCACUCUAUCAACAUUUUCCCAUUCUCCCUCCUCUGCAUAGAUAUUUGAGAGCAGAACAUGAUAUCCGGCAAUCCUUUUUUCCAAUUCCAUAUUAAGCAACUUUUCAGCAAUAACUUUUCCCAGUUCAAAGUACCCAUGAUUUUUGCAGGCUCCAAGAAUAGAUCCCCAGAUUUCUACUGCAUCACCGUCCUCCCCCAGUCUCUCAACAAACUCAUAAGCUUCGACCACCCUCCCAACCCUCCCUAACAUGUCUGCAACACAACAAUAAUGUUCCGUUGAGGGCUUGAUUUUAUGUACUUUAUCCAUCGACUCAAAUAUGUGAAGACCUUCUUCAACCAAACCACUAUAACUGCAGGCAGACAGGAUGGCAAUAAAAGUAAUUGCAUCGGGCUUAAUCCCGCAUUUCAGCAUGGAAUCAUACAAGGCAAGGGCUCUCUUACCCAUUCCAUGCUGACCAUAGCUCAUUAUCAUUGUGGUGUACGUGACAGAAUUCUUCUCCGGUGUUCUGAUAAAAACAUUUUCCGCAUAACUGAUUGCACCCGAUUUUGAAUAAGCGUCCACUAAAGCAGUUCCCACAUAAACAUUUUGGUCCAACAACUGACGUAUGGAGAAUCCAUGAAGUUGCCUAGCAAGGGCCGUGCUUCCCAUGGAACUACAAGAUGGGAGAAUCGACGCUAAUGUCACUGCAUUAGGGAUUACCUUGCGCACCAAUGCCUCUCUAAGAAUGAGAAUACCUUUGUCACCGAGCCCAUUCUGAGCAUAACCAGCAAUCAUAGCGUUCCAUGAGGCCAGAUCUCUAUCACUUGGGCCGUUCUGCUCAAACAAUAACUCGGAAGUCGUAAUUAAGCCAGCUUUAGCAUACAUGUCAAUCAGAUAACUCUCCAUACCCUCAAACUGUAUCCCAUGGCGAAUUAGAUACGCAUGUGUUUGCCUUCCAAUGUACGAGUCCCUCAUGUUAGAAGCCGCAGAGAGUAAUGCCGUCACAGUGACAGAAUCGACGGUAAACCUCUGCUUCUGCAUCUCACACACAAGCAUCAGUGCUUCCUCAUCCAAACCAUUCUGCACAAAGGAAGAAAUUAUCGUAUUCCACGAAACAGCAUCCCUUUCAGACAUAUUUUCAAAAACCUUAAAGGAAGUAUCCACGGAACUGCAUCUGGAGUACAUCACAAUGAUUGCAUUGACAACAAUAAUGGGAGUAACUGCCAAACUUUUUAGAACAAAUGCAUGUAUCUGCUGAGCCAAUUUUAUUUGCUGCAGCUGGGAAACAGCAGAUAUAACAGACAGGAAAGUGACGUCAUCGCACACAGCCUCCUCUGACUCCAAGGCUUGAACGAACACGCCGAUCCCUUGAAGGGGACAGGUAUUUUGAACAUAACCCCCAAUCAUGGAGUUCCAGACCUCGGUAUUUUUGUUAGAACAGCAGUCGAAAACCAUCCUGGCGUAGUCUAAGCAACCAAGGUCAGCAAACAUAACAAUUGCGGAGCUAACAGCAAAGACGUGAUUGACAAAGUCAGCACCGUGUUUAAGAAGCAGGCCAUAAAGCAUAAGGGCGGUUGUAGGAUGAGUGACAGCGGGGAAGACAUUGACGAAAGUAACGGGGGUUGGCGUGAGAGAGGCUUUGACGAGGGUGGCGAAGGCGCGAAGAGCAUCUAAGUGUCUGUGGGUCUUGACGAACCAGGAAAUCAAGGUGUUCCAAGCGACAAUGUUUCGUUUGCGCAUUACAGCAAACAGUUUGAGGACGUAGUCGUGUUGGGGUUGGGUGGAGAAAGGGGGCAAGCAUACGGAGUACAUGUUCAAGAGGGAGUUGUAAACGACUCGGGAGUUGGAUUGGGAGCGAAGGAAAUGGGAAUGAAGGGCCUUACCGGCCAUGAGGUUUUGGGUAAGGGCGCAGGCCUUCAGGGUGGAAGAGAAGGUGUACCCAUCGGAAGCCGUGUUCCGCCUCGACUUCAUCUCCGCGUACAGCUGCAGGGCUUCCAAUGGCAUCUUGUUGCAGAUGAAGCCGAUGAUGACGGUGUUCCACACGGCGGUGGAGGCGCGUGGAAGGCUGUCAAGAAGAUGGCGAGCCAGCUGAGGCUGCCCUUGUUGGCAGAGUUGGCUUAGGCGAGUGCGGAUGGUGACGCCGCCGCUUGGGUUUCGGGCCACCGCGGGAUCGGUAACGGGAACCGGAACGGGAACAGGAACGACGGGAGAAGCCAUCACCCUCAUUUCCUUCUUGUUUUCACACUCACAUUGUUACCUCUUCAACCAUUCCCCUCUUCCUUCCUACCACCAAAAUAUCUUUCCUCUAUCCACAACAUUACAAAACAAAAUAGGAUAAAGUUAGCAACUUUAGGCCAUUGCCAACUGAUUAAACCACCUCCAUGUUUUUAUUUUUCAACUUUAUCAUUCCAAAUAAAAUUUCAAAUUCUUAUAAAAAUUAUUAAAAAAAAGAUAAAGAUACUUUUGAUUUAUGACACCCGUAUCAAAAAUUUGUUAAAACUUAGAUAUCAAAAUAUCAUUAUCCUAAAAAAAAAAUGAGACAUUUUAAUAAAACAAAUAAAUAAUAAGAUUUGAAGAAAAAAAAAAAACUCAAAUUCUUGGAACAUUUGCAGAUAAUAUGAGAUAAUAUUAAGAUGAUAGAUUGUUUUUACCAGGGAUAAUAGAUAAUGCAGUAUCACUGUAUUAAAUUUUUUAUAUUAAAAUUAUAUUUUUUAUGAUAUUAAAAUCGGAAUAUGUUAAUAUUGAACCAUUAUUUAUUCAAAUAAAUAAAUAGAGUGAAAACCCAUUAAAAAUACAUAACUGAUGUAUUAAAAUAUUAAAAUUAAAAUUCAAUUGAAAUGAAAAUGUAAAAUAAUAAGUUUUGAAAAUGGAAGAAAAAAAAAACUAUUUGUAUUCCAUGGGCAUAGGUUCCUUCUGGAAUAUACUAAGAAGGCAUUGGCGUGGAGGAAUAACGAGGAAAGAGGGAAUUAUAAUGAAUAUUUUUUUUCAUUGCAUUGAGACUCACAAUAAUCUGAAUCCAGAACAUGGAGAUGCAACAGCUCCUCAGUAUGGGCUUCCCCGAUGAGUUAGCCGCCCAAGCCUUGGCCGCCACCGGCGGUAAAUCCACCGUCAAAGCCACCGAAUGGAUUCUCACUCACAAAUCCAGCGCCGCCAACACCUCCACAUUCCAGCCCAAGCUUGAUCGCUUCUUCCAUUCUUCUCAAUCCUCCACACCUCCACAAUCGCAAUCACAGGAGGAAGAAGAAGAAGACGAAGAACCUUCCAAACGUCCCAGGCCUUCUCCACUUUCUGCGCAGAAUCCAUCGCCACAGCCACAGCCACAGCAACAAAACUGGCCCCCUUUCUUCUUCAAAACCGCAGAGAAGAAACACGCCAACACUCACAUUCACCAACCCUUGUACGAGCGCUUGCGUCCCAGAACCCUUGACGACGUCGUAGGGCAGGACCAUCUCCUCGCCGCCAACUCCCUUCUUCGCUCCGCAAUCCAACGCAACCGCCUCCCCUCCAUCCUCUUGUGGGGUCCACCUGGUACUGGUAAGACCACUAUCGCCAAAGCCAUCGUUAAAUCUUCAACCUCAACACGUUACCGGUUUGUCUCCUUAUCCGCCGUCACUAGUGGCGUUAAGGACGUGAGGGACGCCGUUGACGAGGCCAGAAAACUCAGACUUAAAUCCAACCAAUCCACCGUUCUCUUCGUGGACGAGGUUCACAGGUUCAACAAGUCCCAGCAGGACUCUUUCUUACCCGUCAUUGAAGACGGCAGCAUUGUAUUCGUUGGAGCCACCACUGAGAACCCUUCUUUCCAUUUGAUUACACCUCUCUUGUCUCGCUGCCGUGUCCUCACCCUUAACCCUCUCCAACCCCACCACCUUGCCUUGCUUCUAAACCGCGCUGUCAGUGACACUGACAGAGGAUUGAUGCAAAGCGCGGGGGUUCAAGUUGAUGUUAAAGAGGAUGUUGUUGAUUAUAUAAGCAACAAUUGUGAUGGAGAUGCUCGGGUGGCCCUUAAUGCUCUGGAGAUUGCAGCUGUUACUGCAGCAGCGAGGGUACAACAUGGUAAACAAAAAGAAGAAGGGGUGGAAGAUCUUCACACAAACGAGGAUUAUAAGGUUGCUGCUGCUGCUGUUGUUAGUGUUGAUGAUGCAAGGGAGGCACUUCAGUGCAAGCAUCUUGCUUACGAUAAAGCUGGGGAAGAGCACUAUAAUCUAAUCAGCGCGCUGCACAAGUCUAUGAGGGGAAGCGACGCGAAUGCAGCUAUUUAUUGGUUGGCAAGAAUGUUAGAGGGAGGUGAAGAGCCUCUUUACAUUGCACGCAGACUCAUACGAUUCGCAAGUGAGGAUGUUGGUUUGGCUGACCCAUUAGCUCUUAAUCAGGCUGUUUCUUGCUACCAAGCUUGCCACUUCUUGGGAAUGCCCGAAUGCAAUGUAAUUCUUGCACAGUGUGUUGCUUACUUGGCCUUGGCACCUAAAUCUGUUGCGGUUUAUCGAGCCUUAGGGGCCGCGCAGAAGGCAGUGAAGGAAUCUGCUGGACAGAAUGAGGGGGUGCCUCUACAUUUGAGGAAUGCUCCAACCAAAUUAAUGAAGGAAAUUGGGUAUGCGAAAGGAUACAUCUACCCCCCAGACAACCCUUCCUCCACACAGACUUACUUGCCACCUUCACUUCAAGGCUACAAGUUCCUUGAUUGGCCUGACAGGAUUCCUUAUGAUGGAUGAGAGCAUUAAAUCAAAGAUCAGGACUUAUGUGUCAUUUUUUAUCUUUGGUUUUUUGGGGUAGUAGGGGGAGAUCUGGAGAAGGAUGCACAGUGCAUACGAUGUUUUCCGUAUCUAUAUUUUUUUUUCACCAUUGCUGAGAAAUACAUCCACGAUGAUGGGGGUGGGGGCACACUAAAUGCUGGUGAAAUGCAUUCUGUAAAUUUUGACACGACUAAAUCUCAUUCUGACUGGUUUUUGCUGAAUUUUAUUUUAUUCUUCUGCAUUGCUAAUCGGCAAUUACUAUAUGAAUUGUUUUAUUGAAUAAUUGUUGAGUAAAUUAAAAGGAAAUGAACACCGAAAAUUUUAAAUGCUUAUUUAAAUUCAAUUACACGGUAUUUCAGCCAAAAACAUUAUAAUACCCUUGAAACGUAACAUACUGAAUUACUAGUCUGAGGUGUAUUACAGUAGCAUUGAAGUUAUCUGGUAUGAGGAUGCGGCCUAGAGAUUACAAUUGCUUGCCUGCAUUUCACGCUUUACACGGAUGACUCAAGCGAAACACGCGAUUUACAAUCCACCUACAACAUGCUAAUAGUUGUGACGAUAUACACCAAAAAAAACAAACUCUCUUAUUAUUAGUAAAAGCUGAGAUUGGAGGUCAACUGAGGAAUUAGAUCCAUUCCUUGGGGUUGAUGCACGCAUCCAAGAGUUUCCAUUCUUCACUUCCUUCUUCUGGUUUCUGCAUACAAAAUUUCACCACCGUUUCAGUAACAAUUUCAUAAGUGGAAAAUUAGAGGUAUCUAAUAUCAUCUUGUUUAAAUAAAUAAAGAUUCCAAAAUCAUACAUGAUCAUAUUCCCACCGAGCAGUCAGUGGGAGAGAAACAAGAAUACUCUCUAUCCUGCCCCCAGUUUUCAGUCCAAAUGUUGUACCCCUAUCGUAUACCUGUGGCCGAAAAAUGUUUGAUAAGACAUUUAUUCCUGAUAAAAAAGAGUAUAGAGGUACACUUUAGCCUAUAGUUGGAUUAAAAGUGUACCAAAUUGAAUUCAACAUAUCGGCCCCUUCGCAAUUGUUGCCAUGCUUUCUGAUGCUCUGUGAAGGGCAAAUCCUUCCUUUUCUCUAUGAUAGGUAAAUAAGCAGGAAUAACAGAAUUUGCACAUUCUACAAGAAAAAAUUGUUUAAGCAGCAUGAGAUAGUGACAAUUAGAUUUCUAUCCAGAGUGAAACAUCAAACGUAUAACGCAAACAGUCACCAGUAGCAAAGGAAAGUAGCAUCUCCUGAUCAUAGUCGUUCAGAUCAUCAAAAAAUAUCCCUCCAAGCCCUCUUCUUUCACCUCGAUGCUGAGUGGAGAAAUAAAAGGAAAAUCAAUGAAAACAAACCAACAGCAGCUUAUGCUCAUGCACCCAAGUUCAAUUAAAAAUAUACUUCAAAUAAAUCCACUCUAGUCCUUUACAAAUAUAGCAGAUGGCAUCCAUGGAACAUCUAGUUAGACAUUAUAUUUUAUUUUUCUCAACUGGUGCACUCCAAUAUGGGACCACUGUCUGUGAUAACUGGCAAACAAGAGACUGAAACAAAAGGUAUAAUUCUAAGCUUACGCCUACAUUUCCUUGCAACAUGAACAAGGAAUAAGUUAUGCUAUUGUUUGGUAAGUCAAGUGGAUAGGAUAAGCUUAUUCUAUCAUGUUAGUCUUACCGGAAGUUUACCAUAAGGAAGGUUUAGGUUAUGAACAGAAUAUGACAUACAAUUUUCCAUUUUUACCGACAACUCAUUUGUUUCACGACCACUACCACUACAAUUGUUGUCACUAGCAGCACUCCCAUUGCUACUACCACCAUUACUAUCGAUACCAUCUUUGCCCGACACGGUAAUUGUAGUCACCACACUACACCGCCAUCGCCAUUGUUCUUACUACAGCUAAAGUAACCAACACCAUUGCCAGUUUUGCAACUAUUAUAUUCACUGCCACAGCAUAUAUUGCCUCCAUCGCUGUAGCAUCACCAGACCUUGAUAACAUCAUUAUUAUCCUUCCCUCCAUUGUUUCCCAUUAUUGUUACAAUUGCUACUACGACCACCACUUUUGCUGUUAAUGUCAUUCCCACGACUACCAACACUUUUUCACAAUAGUAAAUUGGUCAUUUGCAUACAAUUUACAUUAUUAUCUACUAGUAUGCACCAAGCAAAAGACAAUAUAGGAACUUAAUUUGCUUAUAUCCUUUCGGAAGCCUGACUAUUAAACAAGCCCUAAAUGCAUAUACUUUCCAUUAAUAUUUUUCCAAUAAUGCUUGGGAUGAAUAGCAAAAGGACAUUUCUCAAAACAGAUCAUAAACAGAUAAUGAAAAAAAAAAAAAAAAAAUUAUCCACCCAAUGUUGUCAAUGAGGUCAUAUUCCUCCAUAACUAUUGGCAAGCCACUUCAUUUAAAUUCAUGGCUUCUAGAUACCCCUGCAUCACAUAUUUUCUUCCACUCCCGUCAUUUUAUUCUCAACCACAGUCAUUGCUGUUAGCCCGUUAACCAUUUACCACCAUUGGUUUCUUGCUUACUAAUUAUUAUACCCUCCAAGUCGUCAUAUAUUAAAUUCAUCAAAAUUAACCCUAAGUUCAUGUGAUUGUUAAGUUUUGCUUUUAUGAAACAGGCCCAAAGGCUAUACUGAAAAAAUACAGUAAUAUCUUCACUGUGUGAAAAAUGUUGAAGAAUUAUACCUUGAUAUAAAAGUAAUCAUCACACCAUUUCUUGAAUCGAGGGUAAAAUGUAGGCUCAAACUUGUCACAGGCACGUUUUUGAACCUACACAAAAAGUAUGAUAGAAGUACAUUCAGCGAAACACUCUCUCUAGAAUGCAUCCAAUAAAUAAAAUUAAUCACUAGAAUGAUCAACUACAGCUUAAUGUUUCCCUAACCAAAAUUGUUCAAAACAAAAAUCAAGAUUACAUCAAAUUGAUAAUUUAUGUUUCCAUUUCAGGGUUUAAUCUAGGUAAUGUAGAAAGUUUGAAAGACUUUAUGUGAUCCUGAUUGAAGAGUCCUUAAGCAUUUGCAGAAACCCUUUUUAUGGAAACACAGAGGAAGUCAUUAUGCGUUCAACAUUUGAAUGCCUGUCACUUUAAAAGAACCAAGCUACAUAAACUAAACUUCAAAAAACCUACCCACAGCUAUAGUGAUAUAUAAAUGUACUCACUAAAAGUACCAACACCAUUAAGGUCUAGUAACAUUUUUACUUUUAUAAAAGGUCAUGCUAGGUAUCAAUAUAUUCUUUGGAAUCACUGUUAAGCCUCCGACACAUCAAAAUACAUCAAGGUAUGGUGAACAUUUUAACGCAAAGGAAAGUGAUUUUUUUUCUAUCUAUUUUCCAACAAAAACAAUAUCUGAUAUGUGCGGUAAGCAACGUACUGAGUGGAAGUGCUUAACAUCCUCCUCAAAAAUAUAAGCUGGUGUCAGGUCAGUCCCCCCACCAAACCACCAUUGUCUAGGUGCACCAGGAGCAUCUGCAGAAAGCAAGAGCAUGACUAUCAACAAUAGCAGCAAACUCAACAAAGGGUUCAACUCAACAACUUUAUGCUCUCACGUUAACACCCCUUUGCUUUCAUAUUGAUUAGAAAAUACAAGCCGUCCUAAGAUUUUGAGAAUAAACAAACAGCAGUAACAAAUAAAUUAAAAAUAAAUAACAGAUUAAACUGGGAUUUCGGGUAACCAAGUUGGGGAGAGACUCACCAGACAGCUAAAUAUUAAGUCAGAUAAAGAUUAGCUGCCAUUAAGGAUUAAAAGAUUAUACAGUUCCAAACACACACACAAAAACCAAACAACAUCAAGGAAAAAAAAAAAUCAUGGAAGAAGUAGUAUAAAAAGAAACAUACAAAUCACAUCACAUUUGCAACGACCAGAAAGUGAUGAAACCAGUACCGCUAGAUUGAUACAAAGAGCAGCUUGGAAAGAGUAAAGCAUAAUGUAAUUUACCUUUAGGAGCAUCGGUUUCAAAAUAGCGAUAAUUGAAAUGUAGCGUAGGAGCAAACGGGUUCUUUGGGUGUAAAACCUGAACAGAAAGACAAGGGAAGAUUAAUUACUCCAAAAAUAAAUAACAUAAAAAUAACAAAAUCGAGUUAAGACACGAGAAAGAGACGGGAGAACAUACGGAGCUGAUUCCUGCAGCGAAGAACGGUACAGGACCAGGUUUUUGAUCGGUAGGAGCACCCUUGGCAGCACGAUAAGCAUCAGGUGGCAUAACGCCAUAAACGACAGAGACAUUAACACCAGCCUUCUCCCAAACGGCGCCGUCUUGAAGAACCCUGCUAAUGCCACCGCCGCCACCGGGCCUGGACCAAACAUCCUCCUUGAACUGGGCGCCACCAUCAGCGGCCUCAAGGGCACUGCAGACACUGUCCUGGGCCUCCCUAAUCAUCUUCUCGAAGCGGGCCCGAACGGAGGAAGAAGAUUGGGCCUCGUCGACUCCUCUGAGAAACGUUUCGGGACGCUCCGCCUCCGGCGUCUCUUUCUCUAUCGAGACGGUGGCUCUGACCACGCAUUUUCCGAAGCUUAUGGUCUGAAUCCUGGGCUUCCAAGUCCGUUUAGUGAGCGAUAUCGCAGUUGGAGAAAUGGAAGAAGUGGAAGAGCGAAAGGGGAAGACGUAGGAGGGAGCUGAGACAACGGCGGCUGACGGCAUUGUUAUGCUUCCGAUUCACAGAAAACUAACCAGAUUCUGAUAAGGUCUUCCUUUCAAAUAACUCCAACUUUGCCAUUUUUAAUCUUUUUUUUAAAUCUUCUAUUUGCAAUCGAAUUUCUAACACGCCCACAGAUAGCACGGAAAUCCAACCAGCCUCUCACGUUGGUUUGCUUUCGAUCUUACUUCUUCAUUUAUUUUACUUACAUCAAAAAUACCUUUUAUUUACCACCAAAGGUUUACAUUAUAUUUAAAAUUUUCAAAAUUAAAUUCAGUACUUGUGAAAUUGAAAAAAAAAAUUGUGGGAAACUGAAAAUUGUUUUAUCGCCGGCAAACUAUUAAUAUCAAAUUAAUAAAAAUAUUUAUUAAAACAAUAAGAACUGUUUAAGAUAAAAUUAUGAAUUUGAUUCCAACAUUUAAAAAUGUAUAUUGUUUAGGAAUAUAAGUUGGAAGUCCAUUUCUACAAGCAUGUCAAAGUUCAAGGUUUUCAAUAGCUAUUACUUAAUUUAAAUUUCUUUCGUUUAUUUAAUAUCGUUCAAAAAAUACUUGCAGAAAAUAUUCAAAUAUUAAAAUAUUAAAUGAAUUUGAGUUUAUAAUUUAAAUAUUAAAUAUAUAUCAAAAUGAAAUUAUUUAUUUCUUUAUCUUAAAUUUUUAUUUACGACGAAAACUACAAAAGAAAUGUACAUUUAAAAUUGUAAAUUCGAUGAAUAUGAAAAAUAAUUAAAAAAGAGAAUAAAAAAUUUGUAUCAGAAUUCUUUCAAAAUAAAAUAAAGGACAAAAAGUUAAUAGUCAAAAUAAAUAUUUUAAAUUACAGAUUAUGUUAAUUAUCUAAAAGGAAACAAAUACAAUAAAGAGAUGAGAUGAUAAAAUAAAUAAAUACGGACUCUUCCUUUCUUUUUAAUUUUUCGGAAUUUCUGGUCUGUUUAAUUUAUUAAAAGUUAUGGUGCAGCGCAAUUUCUCUCUGCACUUCCAUAAUUUUAAUUUUUGUAUUUCAAAUAAUGCAAUGUAACAUAAAUUGUAUUUUAAAAUAUACAAUCUAAAAUAUAUUUAUGUUUUAAGAACUAUACAAUUUAAAAUGUAUUUUUUAUUUUGUAUUUUAAAAUAUAUAAUGCGAAAUAUUAAAAAUAAUAUUCAAGAUUGUAAAUUCUAAAAUACAAAAAUUUCUUCCUUUGUGCAGAAUGGUUUGGAUGAGGAAGCACUGAUGCUUUUAAAGCAAUAAGCUUUCGUUUUACUUUCUUUUAGGCUUUUUUUUAUUAUUGUUAAGAAAAUCGUGGUUUUAAUUAAGACAAAAGUCAAAAUUCAUGGUAAAUAUUAAAAUAGUUUGUAAAAUAAGUUUAUGUUUUGUGUUUUUAAGAUGAAUUUGAGGAGUAAAUUUAAGUCAAUUUUUGGAAAAAAGAAAAACGGUGAAAAGUUAGAUUAUUUGAAUUCAAAAAUAAAUGUGAAAAAUGAAGAAAAAUUAUUGAAACAUUUAUAAAAUUUAUUGAUUGAAAAAAUGUUUUAAUUAAUAAAAUCAAAUACUUAUUAUUUUACCUUUAGUCAUAAAAUAAUUUAAAAUAAAAUUUUGUUAAUGUAAAUUGUAUUAAAAUAAAAUGUGGAUUAUUAUCUUACAUAAAAAAAAUUAAAAUUGAUGGAAUUAUAUUAAAAUAAAAUGAAAUUGAUAAAAAUUAAAUGAAAAUAAACUGAGAAUGAUUAGCUUAAAUAAAAAAAAAAGUAAUACUUUACAUAUUUAAAAUUAUUUAUUAUUAUUAUUAAUCUAGGCUUAACCAGUCCUGUUCCAACCAAACAAAAAUCAAUCAAGUAUAUUCAAAAAGCACAUAUAAUAAUCAAGAUCUUAGUUGAAGUUGUGCAGCAUCUUUGUAAUCUCCCGAAGUUCACUCAGAAAGAUGGAGCGACAACAUAGAAUCGAUUUCAACAAGGAGAAUUGAUUCCCUGCAUACAAGAGAACCAACCUAUAGAGUGCUCAGAAUCGAUUCUCAACAAACAGAAUCUGUUCUUUGAUAUUAAAUCGAUUCUUUGGAUAGUCAGACUUGUUCACUAGAAUCGGUUCUCAUCUUGCCCAUUCUAAACCCCCCACCCACCCAAACUAAAUCAUUCCUCGCACAUCCACAAUAAUCAAAUCAAUGACAAUAUCCAUUUUAGGAGUGUGAUACGAAACUGGAAAGAGUAUCAAAUCAAUGAUAAUAUGGAAAAGCAUCAUUCGAAGAAAUAUAUCGUGCAUGGAAUAAUAAUACAUAGAAUUGAUUAGAAUAAGGAUAGCUAAACCUGAUUCAUUACGUAAUCAAUCAAACGUCCAAACGAAGAGUAAGAACAUCCACCUUCCAACAAUGUCUUCCUACUAUUUUCACUCGCUUCCACCACUCUCUUCCUUUUCUCAUCAUCAAUCUCCACCAAAUUCCUUAUACCAUUUUCUAUCUUCUCCGCAUUCAAAACGCUGGGAGUUUCAUGCUUGGACUCACCCCUGUAAUCCAACGAAAUCUCCAAAGCAAUCUCCAGCUCACGCACGAGUAAAAAUGCGUUUGUCUGUUGUUCGGCGUAGAGCGGCCAGGUCGCAAUGGGCACACCAAAAUGUAUGCUCUCAAGAGUAGAAUUCCAGCCGCAGUGGGAAACAAACCCUCCGGUGGCUCGGUGGGCCAGUAUUUGGGCCUGAGGGGCCCAUCCGAUCACCUUUCCAAUCCCUGCCGUCCGAUCUAAGAAGCCCGCGGGUAAAAUCGAAGGCAAUUCGGAGGGAGCGUAAUCAGAGGGCGGGGUCAUGAAAUUAGAGCCCUUGGGUGGAGCUUUCCGCAGGGACCACAGGAAACGGACCCCACUGUUUUCAAGAGCCCGUGCAAUCUCCCUCACCUGAUCCUCAACAAAAGAACCCAUGCUCCCGAAGCACAUGAACACAACGGAGGAAGAGGGUUGGUUGUCAAGCCAAUCGAAGAUGUCAUCGUUGUCGGCGGGAGCGUGGGGAUGGAGCUUGGGCUUUGGGUUUAGAAUGGGUCCCACUGCAAAAACUAGCUGAGGCCCGUCAAGGAAAGAAUGUGCCGCAUGGGAUUCUAGCUCCUCGAAUGAAUUUACUAUAAAGCCGUCAGCUUUCUUGAGGCCCCUCCCGUAGGCCAGGAAAAUCUCCUCCCACUCCUUCCACAGCACUAUGGAAGGUAAAUUCCGUGUUGGGACUGGCUUCGCGAAACUCGGAAUGACCCACUCGGCGUCGGGCUCGGUGAACUCGGCGUUCUCCUCUUCCUUGAGGGUGUGAAGAUGAAGCAUCGAACCAAGGAAUGCAAGACCAGAGGUGAAGAAGACGAGUGAAGGGACGUGGAACUCUUUGGCCACAUCGAUCAUGCUGGUGCAGAACAUGUCGACGACGAAGGCCGCGAGUGGGGGUGUGGGGCUGAGACGGCUUCUCUGACGUGUGGCUUUUGAGGUUCGAUUAUAUUCAACGGAGUUGGUGGGGCGUCGGAUGGAGUUUCGGGGAGGCUGACGAACUGAAGACGGUGGGAGUUAAGGGAAUGAGUGUAAGCAGCGGUUGUGGUGUCAGAUGGUAGUUCGAUUACAAAGAGAGUGAUCCAGAUAUGGUGGUGGCGCUCUAACAGAAGGUUGGCGAACUGAAUGGUGGAGACGAGAUGACCCACUCCCGGACCAGGGAUGAAGACGAGUCGUGCAGCUUUCUCCAUGUUGCUGACUCGUUCACUCACUCACUCACUCGGAAGCUGUGGUGAUGAAAGUCAUUGGAAGGAUAAGGGAAAGGAAGAUCUUAUAGAAGAAACUUAAGGACAGCAUUGUUUUGUGAUGGUUUUUGGAGUGCACGCCUGCUCUGCUGGUCCCAAAAUUCAAUUACCAGUCCCAAAAUUCAAUGACCAGUUCUUGUCCAUGCCUAUGGAAUCUUUUUUUCUUUUUUAUACUCUCAAAUAUUAAUAAAAUCGAAAUAAAAUAUCACAUUAAAUAAUAAUGUUUACUAUUUUUAAAAAUGUUAAGAAGUUUAAACCGAAGGAAGAUUUACAGAACGAAAGUUCCUUUCAAACAAAACAAAGUAUAGGGAAGAGAGAAAAUAAAUUUUUAAGGUAUCUAAUAAAUUAAAAGUAUAAAUAUUAGAAAAUAAAAAUGAUUAAAUAUAUAUAUAUAUAUAUAUAUAUAUAUAUAUAUAUAUAUAUCUGAUGAUUAAAUUUGAUAACUCUAAUUUUUAUGUUUUUUACAACCAAAAAAAAAUGUAUAAAAGAUUAAAAGAAAUGUAUAACUAAAACUACAAAAAGAAAUGUAUAGUUAAGAUUGUAAAUUCGAUGAAUGUGAAAAAUAAUUAAAAAAGAGAAUACAAAUUUUGUAUCAGAAUUUUUUUAAAAAAUAAAAUAAAGGAAAAAAGUUAUUAGUCGGAAUAUAUCUUUUAAAUUACAGAAUAUUUUAAUUAUCUAAAAGGGAAACAAAUACAAUAAAGACGAGAUCAUAAAAUAAAUAAAUACGAACUCUUCCUUUCCUUUUAAUUUUCAGAAUUUUUGGUCUAUUUAUUUUAUCAAAAGUUAUGGUGCAGCAAUUUCUCUAUGCACCUCCAUAAUUUUAAUUUUUAUUUCUUCAAAUUUCUGUAUUUCUAAUAAUGUAAUAUAAAUUGUAUUUUAAGAUAUACAAUCUAAAAUAUAUUUAUAUUUUAAGAACUAUACAAUUUAAAAUGUAUUUUUUUUUAUUUUGUAUUUUAAAAUAUAUAAUGCGAAAUAUUAAAAAUUUUAUUCAAGAUUGUAAAUUCCAAAAUUCAAAAUUUUAUCAAGAUAGAGAUUGAAAUUUCGGAGAUACGGGGAGAAAUGACUAAGUAAUUAAAUGUCUUUCAAAAUUCAAUAUCCUUCUUAUAAGGGUAGAAGAAGACCCCAUUCACGCAAUCUUGCCUGAAAAAAAUGAACUAUAUGUAUGAAAUUGCCAACCUUAGAAUUCAGAUAGAGAAGAUCGUAUGUCCCUUUCUAUUGCACCACAAAAACAGAAUCAAGCAUUCAACAUAACAGAAAUAAAAACAGGGCUCCAUGCCCCAAAAUGUCAAAUGGAACAUGGGAUUUCCUCAUUUAGUGGCUUGGGCAAUUAUAUUACUUAUUGAACUGGCUUCCUCCUUGGCAGUCUCCACCAAUGAAUCCUGAAAACCAUUUUCAUAUAAAAUUGCAUCAGACAAAACUCUCCAGGAAGAAACUGCUGACACAAAUAUUUCUGAAAGAAAAAGAACAUUGCAUACCUGUGCAGCUAUUAACCGUGCAAUAGUUUUCUUGCUUGACUCCUGAAGCUCACCGGCAAUUAGAAGUUCAUCAAGUAUAUAAUAGGCCUUCCAUGAUAAAACAAAACCAAGAACAUUUGUCAGAAGAGAAAUUANUUGACCCCAAGAAAAUGAGGCAGUUGAUAUGAUCAAUUAUUAAUGCCCAUUUAAGGUGAUUUCAGCUUGAAAAUUAAUUCAUAAUGACAACAGGUUAAAGGUUAAAAAGUAGCCGCAGAGAGACAAACAAACCUUGUGAAAAUUGAAUAUCAAGUCCAGUUCACAGACCAGCAAAAGUGAAGCNNNNNNNNNNNNNNNNNNNNNNNNNNNNNNNNNNNNNNNNNNNNNNNNNNNNNNNNNNNNNNNNNNNNNNNNNNNNNNNNNNNNNNNNNNNNNNNNNNNNNNNNNNNNNNNNNNNNNNNNNNNNNNNNNNNNNNNNNNNNNNNNNNNNNNNNNNNNNNNNNNNNNNNNNNNNNNNNNNNNNNNNNNNNNNNNNNNNNNNNNNNNNNNNNNNNNNNNNNNNNNNNNNNNNNNNNNNNNNNNNNNNNNNNNNNNNNNNNNNNNNNNNNNNNNNNNNNNNNNNNNNUUUGGGAAACAAAUAUUCUUGAAUUUCAGUGUCUCCUUUGUUAGUAGAUAAAUAGUUGAUAAUCAGUUUUGUGGUGGCAGCAUCCACUGAAAAACCCUUGUCUUUCAUAAUUGCAAGGUAUUUUAUUGACCUUGCAAUCUCCUUUUUUGUCAGCAAGCCCUGGACAAAGACAUUGUAAGUGCAGUUAUUUGGCGGGCAGUUCUCUUCCAUAUUCAUCAGCAAGUCUUCAGCUUUAUCUAUCAGUCCUUGUUUACAGAGACCCUUAAUCAUAAUGGUAUACGCAUAAACGUUAAUUUGCAAGCCUUUAGCAGGCAAACUAGAAAACAGUUCCCAUGCAUCCUUCAAUUUCCCAGAACUGCAUAUUCCGUCAAGUAAAAUGGCAUAAAUGAAAAUAUUAAGAUCCAAAUUACUCUUCUCCAUUGCCUCAACCAAUGACACUGCCUCAGAAAGGAGAUUUCCUUUACACAGGCCAUCCAACAUAACAGAACAAGUUUGAAUAUUAGGAACUUUACCAUGUUUAUGCAUAUUAAAAAACAGAUCUUUCGCAGCUAAUGAUUGACCUGCUUGACAAAACCCACCUAUAAGAGUGGUCCAAGUGACAACAUCGGGUACAAAUCCCAUCUUACCCAUUUCCUCCAACAAAUACAUAGCCUUGUUAAUGUUUUUGUUCUUGCACCAUCCAUGGAUAAGUGAAGUAAAAACUGCAAUGUCCGGUAAACAGCCCCCGUUAACCAUAAAAUUAAAUAUUCCCAUGGCCUCAUUCAUUUGGUUUUGCAAACAAUAAACGUGAAUCAGUGAAUUAUAUGUAAAGACAUCCGGUUUCUCACCCAUUAUAAUCAUAAACCCAAUCACACUUUUAGCCUGCGUUACUUUUCCUUCUUUGCAAAAAGAAUCCACUAAAAUAUUGAGUGUUUGGACAUCCGGCUUCAUUCCCAUUUUCAUCAUGUCAUCCAGAAGAGAACCAACUUCUUUCCAUCUUCCAAAAUUACAGAGACCUUGAAUCAAACAAGUAUAGGUGACAAGAUUAGGCAAGACAUCUUUUGCACCCAUUUCAGAGAACAAAUUUAAUGCCUCGUAUACCAAUCCAUCCUUGCACAAACCAUCCAUAACACUGCUGUAAACUACCACAUUAGGUUUCCAAUUCCUUUCCUCCAUCUUCCUUAACCAUCGAACUGCCACCAAAGUGUCUCCCGUCUUACACAACCCAUUAACCAACACCCCAUAAGUGUAUACAUCUAAUGGAUACCCCAAUUUCUCCAUAUGAUCAGCCAACACCACAGCCUGAGCCACAUUGCCUUGCACACAAAGCCCAUUAAUGAGAUUGGUAAGAGUCAUCACAGUGGGCUCCAAACCAAGUUUGAACAUGGUCCCCAAGACGGAGAACCCAAAAGAUAUCAACUUUAAGCGACAAAGACAGUUGAUCACAAUAUUAAGAGUAAUGGUAUCAGGUUCUAUGCCUAGAGCAGAAUACAUGUGCUUAACCAAAGAUAUGGCAGUGGUGUAAUGCCUCAACCUCACAAUAACACCCAACAAUAAAGUAAAGUCCUUCACAGAAGGCACAGGCUUCAUUCUAGCCAUUCUUUGAAACAAGUCCAAAGCUUCAUCAAAGUUCUUCACUUGACCUACCCUGCAUUGGUGCCUCAUGAAAAUCAAGAACUGCGUCCCGUUGCUGUGCCUCUCAGCAUCAUCUGUGUUUGUGCUAGUGACUAUGGAAGUACCCAUCGUGUGAAGAAGACAAGGGAAACUAGAGAGAUAGAGAAAUCUUGAAGCAUUCAAAGUUACUCUUUUGCUUCCGAGUAGCAUCAGUGUCAGAAACAACUUGCUGCCUAAUGGUUGCGAACAAUGUUAUCAAGAUCGCGAGUCAACUCGUUAACUCGGAGAAGUUUACCUUCCCAUAGCCUCAAACCUAGUUGACAUCCUCGGGACGCCGGCGUUUUGCCGGAGGAAAACCCAAAACGAGCAUGAGACGCGGAUGAGAAACACAGUAAAGAAUAUCGAGAUGAUGAUUAAAUCUCACCGGAGAUAGCAGCGGCUGCCAAGGGUUCCUACGUCGCACAAAGUUUUGUGAGCCUGACCUUCCCCUGACGACUAAUGAGUAGCACAAAGUGUAUCUACAUUUAAGAAAAGGAGGGAUAAAGCACGUUGAAAUUGGAAAUACACAAAGAAAGAAUCUAGAAAGUAGGAACAAGAGAAAGAUGUCUGAAGAAGAAUGAAAAAGCUGGACCGAAAAUAUAGCGCACUUAGAAUCUGGAAGAAACUUUACCAUUUCCCUCGAUUUGCUCGCGCCUUCCGCUGCUAGGAUCACGCUCCCUUCUCCUUCUCCUUCUCCUUCUCCCAAACCUUCGAUUUUUACCUUAAUGUCAUUUCCAAAAUAAAUCAAAAUUUUAUACUUUCUGUUUAUUGUUCCUCUUUCUUUUUGAGCUCCGUUUUUCUGUUUCCACCCCUGCCAUUACUACGCGCUACAUCAUGGGCUCGGCCCAUUAAAUGAAUGCGUUUAAUUUAAUUGUCAUUUAAUUUAAUUUUAUAUGAUUAUUUGUCAAAAAUUAUUAAGACUUGUUCGGGUCUCACAUUAAUCAAUUAAUUAUUCUUAACACAAAUUCUAUUUUUUUAAAAUAUAUGAAUAUAUUGUAUUUAGUCUCGUAGUGUAUAUAAUACUUAUUAAUUUCUGCGUAUCUUUUCUGGUUAAUGUACAGCUAUUUUGUUAAUGGUAUAAUUUAAGUUUUUUAAAAUUUUUUCAAUGUAAUAUGAUUGACGAACGGAUAAUUAUUUUGAAUAUUUAUUUAUUUAUAUAUUUAAAAAUGUUGGAUUUAAAUUUAGAAAUUUAUUAAAAGACAAUAAAUUUUGAAAAUUAAGAAACACUUAAAACAAAAUAUAUAUAUAUAUAUAUAUAUAUAUAUAUAUAUAUAUAUAUAUAAAAUAGAUUCGAUAUUUUGAAUAUUUUAGUUAUAUACUAAAAAUUAAAUUCAAGAAUUUGUAAAAAAUAAAACAAAUCCUAAAAGUUACACUUAAAAUAAAUUAUUGUAUUUGGUAACAUAAUAUUGACAUCAGAAUCACAAUAUUGUAAAUUAUGAAUUAUUACAGUAAGAGAUGAAUGUGAGACAAUAUGAAAAUACAAGUAUUGACUGUCGUACCAAUUGCAAUCCCCUUAGAUAUCGUUAGAGACAAGAAUAAUGCCAUGACUAUAACUGUUACUCUCUAGAAUUUUGCCUAAACACAAACACGUGUUAAUCAAGUCAUUACACGAAAAUCUGAUGUCAAAGUUGUUUUGUCUAUCGAGAGUCAGGUUCACCAAGGAAAUCUAAUACUGAUGAGAUCUAACACAUAGAAAACUCUUCACCCAAAAUAUCAAGACAAUAACUUAACAAGUCUUUCACUCUUAUAUCGUACUCUACUUAAAAUGUUUAAUUAAAACACAAUUACAAAUAUUAAACAAGUCUUCAUCAAUAAUGUUGUUAAAACGACCACUUCAUCCAAAUAGCCAACACAACUUAAUCUUUGAUAGUUUAAUUAGCAAAGCAGUUAAUACACAGGUUAAUACAUAUAGUUUUACAAUAAUCACAAUUAAAUUAUGACUUUUUUUUUUAAUUUUGUUUCUUUAUUUUAAGAUUAAUUUCUAGUUUAGUUUCGUUUCUUGAUUUUUUAAAGUUAAUGUAGUUUUAAUAUUUAUUAAAAAUAUUCAAUAUAAUCUAAAAUGGUAGUUAACGUGAUUAGAAGUUUAAACUGAAAUUUUCUAAGCCAUUUUUCUUUUUCAGUUGUAUCUCUCUUCUUCUUCGAACCUAUUUUCUUCUGUGUAAUACAGGAAAUCGAUACAUUUACGUUUUUAAUAACAUUUUCCUUAAAAUCAAUUUCUUCACUCAAUACGAGAAGGUGCUAUGUUUGUUCUGCAAUAAAUUUAUCUUUUUUUAAGAGAAAAUAAAACAUGUCUAAAAGACCAAUUACAAUGAAAAAUACCUGAUAAAUUAAUUUAUUUCCACUAUUUUUUUAUCCAUUCUAAUUAGAAGGAUAAAUUAUUUCCAGUUUUUUCUUGUUAAUCUAAAUAAUGCAUAUUUUCACUCGUUAUUUCCCAUCCUCAAUAUUUCUAUUAAUUUAUCUUUUUCCUCUCCGUGAUGAAUAGAGAUAUGCGUUAUUUUAGUCCAAAGAAUUUUCUCUCCUUCUAAUUUUUUUAUUUUAUUUUCAGUGUAAAACAACAUCUAUGCCUUUACCAAAAAGGAAAUUCACCAUUUUUUAUCUACAAUUUAUUUUUCAGUUUUGUCCUUUCAUAAAUAAUAAGUAAUUAUUUUUUUAAAUUAAAAUAAUUAAUUUAUCAAUUUUAUCAUUUAAACUUAACUAUCUUUCUAAUUUGAUUUUUUUUAAUUUAAUUUCUUUAGAUGACAUAAAUUAAACAAAAUCUAUCUUUUAUUGUAAAAAAUAUUAUAUUAGUUUUUAUAACUAUAAAUUUAUUAUUUUUUAUUAUAAAAAAGGUUUUCACUAUUAUUAUAUAAUAGGAUUUUUAAUUUAAAUUACUUGAAAAAAAAAGUUUAGGAGAAAAAAUAAAAAGAAAAAUUGUAAAAAGUCAAAAGAAGCCCGGGUUCUAGGUUUUCUCUUUCGCCCACCGCCACGCCACCCCUCACUCUCAGAUUCAAACCUUUCCGAGGUGAGGCAGAGGCUGAGCCACCACUCUCUCUCUCUAUAUAUUUCUCUCUCUCUCUCUCUAUAUAUAUAUAUAUACAUAUCUAUAUCUCUCUGAGAAACACAUAGUAGUUUUUCCAUUUGAUUUUAAUUUCUCUCUCUACUGGAGUUGGAUUUUGGUUUUCGGGGACAGAUUCCCUUCCCUGCCACGCCACCUUCUCUGUUUCUGCUAACAAGUACAAUUUUUUUGUAUUCCUUUCUGUAGAAUGGGAGCUGGGCGUGAAGUCUCUAUCUCACUUGAUGGAGUGAGGGACAAGAACCUUAUGCAGCUCAAAAAGCUCAAUCUCGCUCUUUUCCCCGUUCGUUACAAUGACAAAUACUAUGCCGAUGCUCUCGCUUCCGGCGAAUUCACCAAACUAGGUUCUUUUCUCUCUUUCUUUCUCACUUUCAUGUUACCUCAUUCUGCAUUUUUCUCCAUUAUUCCUUUUUGCUAUUUAUUUCACUAUCUUAUUCUUAAUUUCCUUUCCUCCUCGCCUGUGUAUUUCUAUAAAAGCUACUCUACCGGGUUUAUAUUUACCAUGUUAGCCUUCCUUCUGGGGAACCCGUUUGAAUGAAUAAAUAAAUGAAUGAUAAUUUAACAAUAAGUGUGUUGCCAAAAGAUGUACUUGAUAGAUUUUUGCUUUUAUUUGAUACCGGAGCAUGAAUUUGACAAUGUCGUCUUCGCUUGUGUAUUCCCUUUGAGGUUUUCUUAAGCUAUUACUGCACUUGAGUUUCUGCUCACUCUAGCAAUUUAGCUUCCUUCUCAUAAUCCAUUACUUGCCAUUUCUCUAUUUUGAAGAUUUUUUUUAAUAUGGGUGUUGCAAUUAACCAUUGCUUACACUUACUAAUCUUUGGGCAAUAACUUUUUUUUAACCUUGUUUAGUCACUAAACCGCCCAUAGCCUCUUGGAAUUAAUAGCACAAGUUUGGUUUUUACUUCUUUAUAUUAGUUUUAUUCAAUUUUCACUUGAUUUACAUUUUAACAUUACCGGAAUGAUGCUGUUUGAUGUAGCUGUCUCACCUAAUGAGAUAAAGGCUCUGCUGUUGUUACUUGUUUAAUUGAUUCGAGUUUCUUGUACAUUUUGAAUUCCUAUUUUCUAUCUUGUGCAAUUUCCUUCACGCCUUUCUAACUUUGUUGAUUCAAAAAUACCCUAACAAAGGACAAAUGGAGCUCAUUUUCAAGAGUUUUUGACUUGGACAUAUGAACAUUUAGGACCUCUUGGUUUUUCCUUUCGUAGAUAUUCGUAAUUGCGAAUUAGAUCAAAGGCUUGCCUCCCUGUCCCGUGUGUACUCUCACUCGAGCAACCUUAAUCUCAUUCUCUAUUCUAUCUCUGGUCUCUUUUGUUUCCUUGUUUUGCCUCAAUUGACCAUCAUCUCUGUUUCUGCCUUCAAAGCUGUUUCCUUAAAGGUUCAAGCUUUGUGCCUCACAUCUUUUAAGCUUCUAUUUUUCUGCCCAUGCUCUGUUGUGGAUUACUUGCUAUUAAGGAUUACCUGUGUAACUUAUUAUGACUUGUAUGUAACCUCAUAGUUAAAUUUUGUGAUUUAGGUUACUUUUGUUAUCUGUCAUUUUCUAUGCAUAUGUAUAUGUCUAGGUAUAAUUUUUCAUUUUUAGUAGGAUGUUAUGAUUAAUGUUACGACCGUAGGAUGUAUGAUUUUCAAGUCCCUUCAUGAUCUGUGCUAGUAUCUUUAUUUUGGCAACAUUGGAUAUGCUGACGGUUUGGAGAGCACUUUCAAAAUUGUUUUUUUUUUUUCCUUUUUCUGCUUUCUAUACUGAAAAUAAGUGCUCCCUCUUUGCUUUUGAUAAAUUUAUCCGCACCUCAAAGAAAAUGUACAGAGUCAUCAUAAUUGGAAUACCACACAAGUCGUCUUCAAUACUGAUAAUAUAUUACACUUGUCUUUUGGAGUUCUGAAAGCUUUUGUACUUAGACUUAGUGUUAAAGCAUAGAGGAUUUCCUUAAUCGGACCAGCUUGUUUGAUAUCUCUGCUUUCGUUUGUGCUUGAUAAUAUGGGUGAUACCCAAAGAAGGGAUGGGUAUACAAAGGACAUGCAGAAUGUAUCUUUCACUUGCCCAAGAUUGAUUGUUUUCCUUUGUCUUUCAGCUUACUACAGUGAUAUAUGUGUUGGAGCAAUUGCGUGCCGGCUAGAGAAGAAGGAAGGAGGGGGGCAAGUUCGGGUUUACAUAAUGACAUUAGGCGUUUUAGCACCUUACCGUGGACUUGGUAUUGGUAAGAAAGAAACUGAAUAUCUUUCCCUGGUGAUUUAAACUUUAAUUGAUCAUUUUUGUUAAGGACUACUUGGUGUGGAUACUUGUUUCAGUACCACAAAUACAGAUUAAUGGUUUUGUCAUUAAGUGCAAGCUUCAUAUCGGAAACAUUUUAAUUCGCUUCUUGCAAGAGUCAUAAUUAUGUAUUAUCUUUUAUAAACUAUGCAAGUUUUUGUAAUGUGAGUCUGGGGGUUUAUGCAGGAACAAAGCUGUUAAAUCAUGCUCUUGAUCUUUGCUCCAAGCAAAACAUUUCUGAGGUGUACUUGCAUGUGCAGACAAACAAUGAAGACGCCAUAAACUUCUAUAAGAAAUUUGGGUUUGAAAUUACAGAAACAAUCCACAACUAUUAUACAAACAUUACACCGCCAGACUGCUAUGUUCUCACAAGGUACACGGCUGCAAGCACAACGAAGAAAUAACAUUUUAGCCAGUUAUUUGAGGGGAAGUGAUCAGAGAUUGUUGCAUUGUUUUAUGGGUUUUGCCAUGGAUGUAUUACACUAAAGUUUUUCAUGUUCAAUGCUAGAUUUUAAACAGUACAGUUAGCUCAAAAAAAGAAGCACUUGGAGAUCUCUUGCUAAGGUACAAUCUAUGCUAUUUAUCCCGUUUACUCACAUCACCCUCCAAUCUUGUCGUUUUCGUCAAAAAUACUAUAAAGUUACAAUUCGGUACAAGGAUAUCUAGAAACAAUUGUCUAAAACGGAGGCGCAUAGAAUUAACUAAAAAAUCACAUCAAUACACUGUAAACCUAAUUAAAAUUUAUACUUAAGCUGCAACUUGCAUUUUAAAACUAAAUCUAGCUUGUCAAUUUUGAUUUAGGAGAUCAGAGGGGCCUUUCUUUCUUUAUAAUCUUUGCCUAGAAAUGGAUAACCAUUGAACUGAAUCAUGUGCCCUGUUUGGUCGUGAUUAUCAUCUUUUACUGUUGGAUUUUGGUUGUGGAAAAAACGUCUAGUUUACAGUGUAUAGUUAUAAUGGAUGUCCCACAAAAAGUCUACAAAUUUGUUAAGAGGAAAUGUAAAGUUUUGUUAGCAACUUGAACCAUAAAUUAAAAAUAUUAGGAAACCAAGAUUAACAUAUUACUUAACUGAACUUUUUGUCUUUAUAGUUUGGCUUAUGUGUUUGAUUUUUGUUUUUCUAGUUUUAUCUGGUUAAUUUUUUAUAAUGUUUAAAUGAUUAAAUUAAGUCUUUGAUAAAAACAAAAACUUUCCAUACAUAAUAGAAGUGUAAUGUAAGUGUGAAAUGCCAUUUAUUUUUAUAUAUUUACAAAAUGAAUUUAAUAUUUUAAAAAUAAAAACAAUGCUUUCGUAUUGCUAGUUUUAGAGUUAAUUUAUGAAUAUCCUAUACUUUUUUUUCUUUAUUAAUUUAUAUUGAUUAAUGUAAGAUUGCAUUUACAUUAAUUGUAAUUUGAUAAUUAAUAAGUUAUUUUGACACGGUAAAGAAUAUAAUGACUAAUUAAAUUAAACCAAGAUAAACUUCUGGAAACGACAUUUGCAUCAACUAUAAUCACUGAAGUUAAAUCAAACCACAUACGAUGAUUACACAACAAACAUUUUAUUAAUAAGUGUAUUACAAACCAUGUUAAUUAGUCAUGGAUGUCAUGGAGAUGCACAUUGUUCUGCUAUUCGAGUCACAGAAAACAAAACGAAGUACAACCAAAGAAAAUCCAAUAUGACUAUCAAACUGAGUCGUGAUUUUGGUUAAGAUAAUCAUAUUUUACAUAGAAAUACAAAAGAAAAAUAAAAUAUAAUAAAUGAUUUGGUUCAAUUUUUAUAUUAAUAAGAAAUGAAAACUGAACCAAAUUGCGAUAAAAAUGUGUUUUCCUUAAAAUAUUUGGUCUAAUUGUUUUUUCAUUUUCUUGAUUUGUUUACUUACUUGAAGGUGGAAAAUUGAUCUUAUCAGAUUUUAGAAUUUACUAUUAAAUAUAUCAAAUUUUCAAACUUUUGAAAUUUUUAUAUUUACCCACUGAGUCAUAUACUUACAUGUUAUCAUAAAAAUAUACAAAUUCAUAAAUAUUUAUGAUUUUGAAAAUAAAUCGUCCUUACUGGUGUAUCAAAUGACUUGAUUAAUUUUUUAAAAUCUAUAAUAGAACAUACAUAUAAAAGGUAACAAAAUUCGUAAUUAAUUUCAUAUUAAGGGAGAAAAGGGAAAAACAUUUUUUUUUACCAACCAUAUGGUUAGGUGAAUGAAUGAUGAGAUGAAAAACUAGAUAGCAGAAGCAACAAUUUUGUAUAUAUUAUUAUAUUAUAUAUAAAUACAAUAUCUGGAAAUAAUUUGAAUUCCCCUAGAAGAAAGAAACGAUUAUUUUGACAUUUUAAUGUUGCACAGAGAUCCUAACAUAACCUAGGUGUUUUAUUUUUGUGACCUGUUGCCUAUGUUAAAAUUAUCAGACGGAGGAAAAGAUUCAUCCUUGAAAAUUUGGGAAGACGUUAUCCAUAGGAAAUAGGAAACAGGAAAUAAUAUCCAACCCUUAUCCGAUUCAUCAGAUUACGUGUACACACUUGGUUGGAGAACAAGAUCAUAAUCUCAUCUUGAGUGCAUUGCAUUGCGCCAUGCAAUAUCCACCAUGAGUUGGAUACUGGUCGUACAUGCGGGCCAAUGUAGUAGUGGCUCACCUUCCUCCAUAUCUUCCACCCCUUUGGCUUUUUAGUGGUUGCAAACACAUAUCAUUCAUCCCUAACCUUCACUUCUAUUACUCUCUUUUGCUGCACCAAUUUCAAACGCAACAAAGGAGGAGUAGUAGUAUAACCACCAUGCCUGCACAAGCUCUGCUAUCAUCUUCAUCUCUUGUCCUUUCAGCGGAGGCUGCUAGACAGACUCUCGGACCACGAUCACACCAAUCUCCCCUUGCCUUCUCCCGAAAAGCCUCCUUCAUUGUUAAGGCAGCUUCUACUCCCCCUGUCAAGGUUUCUUCCUCUCUCACUCCUUUUUUCUUCUUCUCUCUCUUCAUCUGCAUCUCUACUUAUAAAAGUUUCUUCCUUUUCGUGUUCAGCAAGGAGCAGACAGACCUUUAUGGUUUGCAUCAAAGCAAAGUCUUUCUUACUUGGAUGGCAGGUAAUAAAAAUCCUACUUUUCAACCAACUAUUGAUAAAGUUUUGCAAUUUAGAAUAGUGAAAUAAUAGUUGAUAGUAUUUGUGAAGGUGGUGGUGGAAUUGACUUUGUUUGGCAUGGUUUGGUUUGCAGCCUUCCCGGUGACUAUGGAUUUGACCCUCUUGGACUUUCAGACCCUGAAGGAACAGGAGGGUUCAUCGAGCCGAAAUGGCUAGCGUAUGGUGAGAUCAUCAAUGGUCGUUAUGCAAUGUUGGGUGCAGUUGGUGCCAUAGCACCUGAAAUUCUCGGAAAGGCUGGUCUGAUCCCUCAGGAGACAGCACUCCCAUGGUUCAGAACCGGUGUGAUCCCACCUGCAGGAACAUACAACUACUGGGCAGACUCGUACACGCUCUUUGUGUUUGAGUUGGCACUGAUGGGAUUUGCAGAGCACAGAAGAUUCCAAGACUGGGCGAAACCAGGGUCUAUGGGGAAACAAUACUUCUUAGGACUAGAAAAAGGUCUUGGAGGUUCUGGUGAUCCAGCAUACCCCGGAGGACCUUUGUUUAACCCUCUUGGUUUUGGCAAGGAUGAGAAGUCGCUGAAGGAUUUGAAGCUGAAGGAAGUCAAGAAUGGAAGGUUGGCUAUGUUGGCAAUCUUGGGUUACUUUGUUCAAGCUCUUGUGACAGGUGUUGGUCCAUACCAGAACCUCCUAGAUCAUCUUGCUGACCCUGUUCACAACAACAUCUUGACCAGUCUCAAGUUCCACUGAAUGUAUCAUAUGUUGUUACAUAUUCUUUACUCUCUGGGUUGUUGUUGUACGCAGUUACCAAAACUCAAUCACUUUUCUAUAUCCUCUCUUUGCUCUUUGGUACUGUAUCAUCAUCAUCAUCAUCUGGACAUUUUGUUCCUGGUGUGCCACUCUAAGAAAUGACAUGUAAAACAAUUAGAAACAUUUCACAGCUUCUGAUAUCUCUUUUUCUGGCUAGAUCAACCUUUCCCUCUCUCUUUUAUCAACAUUUAUACAACGGUUGCACGGACGGUCUCAUUCCUUAUUCGUUCAAACAAAUACUGAUUAAGAAAAAUUAAAUGGAUACUUCUAGCUUUCUUCAAGAUUUCUACUGCUUUUGGUAGUUCGAAUUGUUUGAGUUCAAGAUUGCUGGCUUUCUCAUCAACCAUAGUUUUCGUUAGUUAUCUAUACAUAUCUAGCUUAGUAUUAUAAAUUACAUCAAGGUUUCUAUUAGAUCUCUUCUGCUUUAUGUUGAGACAUACGUACAUUGGAUGUGGAAAAUAUCAAAUAAAUUAUACAUACAUUGAACAUUACAUGGGAAAUUUUAAAUUACUGAUAUUUCGGUUUUAUAAACAAAUUGGACAGAAUUGGAUGUAUGCCUCCUUUCACAUUCCGUUGAAGACUAAACCAGAUUGUCAUUGUGUGUACAUCUGACUCUUGUUGUGUAGGAAAGUUGACUUAAUAUACAUGCAAAAUUAUUUUAUAUGUCAAUACUCGCAUAAAUUUGUGUCAAACAUACUUUAGGAUUAAAAUUAAUGACAUUUAUUUUUCAUUUAAUCGUAUAGAUAAGCGAGAAAUCCACAUUAGUUUCUCAUGGUUAUUCAAAAUAAAAGAGUAAAUCAUAUGACAAUAGUUAUUGUGGAACAUUAUAUUGGGAUGGGAACCCCGUUCCAAUCUCCUAGACAUUCCAGAAUUGGGUCAAUUAUCUUUGCUUGACACAUGGCUGUAUAUACUUUUUCAAAUUCUUCAUCUGGUGACAGAGCUUUUUCACCUGUGAGCAACCCUAUCUCCAACUCCUCCCUCACAAAUUUGUACAGAGGAUAUGACCUGCACUCCUUGAUUCUGUUUGGAAUUGCUGGAUUGCCAUUCUCAUAAGCCACCCGUGCACUUUCAAUUUCCUUUGGCAAGAGAGACUUCAAUUCAUCCUCAAAAGCUCUAAUCUUCUCAAAAGUCAACAAACUCACAUUCUUGUCAUUAAUGACACUGCUGUGUGCUUGCUCAUAAAGCACCUGCUUUAGUUUUGGCAUCAAUGGGUACCGAACAUUUAAGGGAUCAUCAAUGUAUGAAAAUACAUAUUCUCUAUCGACCACUUUAAGCAACUCUUCCUCAGAGAGUCGAAAUGGGUUAAUUUCUUCUUUGUCUUCAGUAAUUAAUGUUUUCAGUGCAACUCUGCUUACAGUAUUCUUGACAGUGUUCUUGAAAAUUUCCUCCAAAUGCCUCAAGUCAAUAGCUUGGCAGAGUGCAACCAGAUAAGUAGAAGACAUAAGCUUUAAUAUCUCUAUGGCUUCGACAGUUUUCAGAGCCGAAAUUAAGCCCAAAGAGUUCACAUCUUGGUUGUGCUGCUCAGCACUUUGCACAUGGCUAGUUACCGGAUUUGCUAGAUAUUGAAGUUCAGAACAAUAAGCAGCCAUGGCAACUUCAGAUGCCUUAAAACCAUAAUCCAGACUUGGAUUUCUACCAACAGACAGGUUUGAUGGUAGCCCAUUACUAUACAAAUCAUUGUCUAGUUCGGUAAAUUGCGCAAAGAUGAGUUUCCCAAUUGAAGCAACAGCUAAACGUGCAUUAUCCAUUGAAACUCCAAUUGGGGUGCCUUGGAAAUUACCACCAUUCAGAGCUUUAUCCCUUGUGACAUCAAUCAAGGGAUUGUCGUUUACUGAGUUUAUUUCCCUUUCAAUUGAUUUGGUUGAAAAUCGGAUGAUUUCAAUCUGUGGUCCAAGCCAUUGAGGAGAAGUUACAAGAGCAUAACGAUCUUUUUUAGGCUUCUGCAAUGGAUCUGGCUGUUGCAGUUUAGCAUUCUUGACAUAAGAGCUUCCAUCUAGAAUGUGUUCCAUAAUAGCAGCAGCUUCAAUUUGACCUGGGUGGUACUUCAGCUUAUGUAUAAGGUGAUGUGUAAAUUCUGGCUUUCCCUGCAUGACUUCAGCAAAAACUGCUGAUAGAACUUCUGCCAAUAAAGCUAAUACGUUUGCCUCAAAAAGCACCAUAGAAGCUACACCAGACCCAACGGCUGUACCAUUUACAAGAGCGAGACCUUCUUUGGGCUUCAACUCAAUGAACCCACUUUGUAGACCAGCUAAAUGGAAAGCUUCCUUAGCAUUGAGGGACUCUCCAGAGGGUCCAACAGCUUUACUGUUUCGCCUACCCGUUAGCAAUGCAACAAUGUAUGACAGAGGAAUUAGAUCACCAGAAGCAGUAAGUGUACCACGUAACGGCAAGACUGGGGUGACAUUGUUGUUGAGGAGUUUGGUGAUAGUUUCUAAGAUUUCAAAUCUAAUUCCUGAAUACCCUUGAAGAAGGGUAUUAACCCUCACAAGCAUUGCUGCUCUCGUUGCUGAUUUCGGCAGUAUAUGAGACAACUCUGUUUCGUAGCCAAAUAUUGCACAAUUUAAAAACCUGGGAAGGAAAAGGGGUAAACCUUAAAUACAUCAACCAAAAGAAGAAUCAUAUAUGAUUCUAAUGCAACUUUAUCUGAUACAUGAAAUGAAGUUUUCAUUAGCUGAAAGUGAUAAACUCAGAAUUAUUAGUGUUUUGCCUAUGAAAUUGGAUACUCACAGAUACAUCAUCAAUCAAGCAAAGCAGAGAUGAUCCUCACCUAACCAUUUCCUUCUGAAGAGCAAGACCUUCUUGAGUUUGCCUGUUGGAGGAAGCACCAAAACCAGUGGUGACACCAUAAAUGGGGGUGCCUUUGUCGAUGUUAUCCAAGACCCAUUUGCAGCUGGCUUCAACGCCUUCCCUUGCAGACUCUGAGAGGUCAACCUUAGCCUGUAAGUAAUGGUUAGCAACAGCAGCCACCAUUGACACAGUAAGUUUCUCCUCUCCACCCAGAUGGAUCACUGCCUUCCGGUACUCGGCCACCAUUCUUUUCACUUCCUCCAAGUGGCUACCCUUAAGUGAUUCUGCUGCCUCACCCCAGUUAAGAGGGUCUAUGUUGAUCACACUAAACUCACUUUCAAUACUACCCUUUUGUUGGAUAAAGCUUGCCAUGUUUGCAAAUUGCUGAAACUAGCACUGCCAGAGAUCAAAAGUUGUACAGAAAUCUUAAUUUCAAAGCUUUAAGUAGUAGGGACUAGUGCUUGGUUGGUGAAUACCUCUAUGUGUUGGGUAGGUGGUUAGGUAGCUCUUUGAACUUUCAUACAUCAAAAUUCACAAGUGUUAGACCCAGUCAUCUUGGCAUCUUACAACCCUAUAUAUAUGAUAAUGAAUAUGUUGCCAAUUCUGCAAUAUGUUUGAAUGCUUCAACCAUUGAAGCAGUAGUCUAAAGACAAAGGACAGUGAUCAAUAUACAUUUUUAUAUUCAUUUUACACGUAAUAUAAAAAUAAAAUAUUAUAAAAGUAUAAAUUUUUAUAUUUUAAAUAAAAAAAAGUAAAAAUACAAUUAACGAAUCAAAUAAAUAUAAAAGAUUUAAACGUGUCCAUUUAACACGUAAUAUAAAAGUGUAAAUUUUUAUAUUUUAAAUAAAAAAUAAAAAAUAAAUAAAAAUAGAAAUUAACAUAAAAAGUUAAAUAAAUAUAAAAGAUUUAGACGUGUUAAAAGAAUAUUUUUUUUUUAUUUGUUAUUAUAUCUGGUAACACGAAAAUACAACAGUGUUUACUGUUUAGAUCAAAACACAUUUAAAAAUUAAUUUAUGUCAUUUUCUCAGUAGUAUUAUUAUCAAUUUUAACAGAUUUCUUCUGCAUAAAUUAAAAUAAGAAGGUAUUUAAAGAAUAUCAAGAACCAUCCUUUUACAGACUUCAAGCUUCGCUUGAGAUGGCGUAAAUUUUUUAUAUAGAAGUGUUUAUACUUUUAAUUCUAGUAUAUAUUUAAAUCAAAAUAUAUAUUAAUACUAUCAGUUAAUUUGAACUAAAGUGUCUUAUAAUUAUGACGUUGUUGAAAUUUAUACAUAUCUCAUCGAAUAAUUAAUGAGAAAGAUAAUUUUAUUUUUGUCAUAAUAACGGAUUUAUAUGAAUUUGUUUGUUAUCACUUGAAUUAAAAAGUAAUCCGUUCAAAUACUUGAAUUAUUUUAUCAAAUAUUAUUAUAAACAUAAGCAGACAUUUUGUUUUAUUACACAUGUGAUUUACCUAUUUGACUUUUUCCUUUCUUAAAAAAUAUAUAAAUUUAAUCUUAAAAAAUUAGACACGUAACAUUAAAUUACGUUGAUAUUUCCCACAAUAUUUAUCUGAAAAGAGAUUGUACAUUCUUAUUUUUUUAACCUAAUACAUAUUACUGUCAAUUGAUUCAACCUUCUUAUAUAACUAAAAUGGUUUAUUGACUUCAAAAAAUACAUUAUAUAAUUCGAAUAGAAAGAAAAUAGUUACUGCAUUUUAUAUAGUUAAAUACGUCUUAUCUUAACUCUGUAGAAUUAAUUAUGGCUUAACUCUUAUAAAUGCAUGUAUUUUGUAAUUGAUUUACAAAUUUAUAAUAUUUGGUAAAACUGAUUUCAGUUCAUCAAAUUUAUUAUCAAACUUAUUGAAAUAACUUGUUUGAUAAAAUUACAUAUUUUUCACUUUUCUACCAAAUUGAAGAACACCAACUUGAAAAAAAAUAUAUAUAUAUAUAUAUAUAUAUAUAUAUAUAUAUAUAUAUAUAUAUAUAGAUAUAGAAAAGUCAAUACAUAUAUAAAUUUUUACUAUGUAAGAUAUUCUUUAUUCUAAAACAAAUCAUCAUAGAUUUAUUUUUUAUAUCAUUUCAAAAUAUUUUUUAUCAAUAAAAAUAUUUUAUGUGUAUUUAAAUUUAUGUUUAUACAGUACUUUUGGCUAGAUAUUACAUUUAAACAAAUUACAUCAAAAAUUAAAUUAGAAAAAAGAAUGAGCAUAAUUUAACAUUCAAAAUUCAGUUUGUAUGUUUCAAACUUUAUUUUCAUGACAUUUAUCGUCAAAGUUAAUUAUCGUAUAACAAUUUGUGCUUUUUCUUAAAAAAGAAGAAGAAAUCCUUUUAAGAAAAAAAAUAUAAAAAGUGAAAAAAAUGGGUUUUAAAUGAAUUUAGUGAAUGGUAGAUAAAAUUCUUAAAUAAUAAAGUAGUGGAAAAAGGUAAUUGAAUAACAAGAAUAUUUUUAUUUUAAUUUUUUUUAACUUUAUAUUGGCAGUAAAUUUUACUUUGAGUCAAUUAACCACAUAAGAAAACUGCGCUGUCAUUUGUUUUUACUAAUUAAGGACUUUUUCUUAUUUUAAAAUAUUAUUGGAAUUAAUUAAAAAAAAUAUUGCUAUUUUUAGUAUGGAAUCAAUCGUUUAUUUAGGGAAACGUGCUAUAAUUUUUAUACAAAAUAUAAAGAAAAUAAAGCUAUAAGGGUUUGAAAAUUCAAAGUAGCCGUUGGCAGUGACGAGAGUGUCCUGUUUUAGUUCUACCCUGCACUCUCGUUCCUUGCAUUACUGUCACUGAAUCACGCUCCUUUCGUUUUUCGCUUCCUCUGUUUCCUUUUCAUUCAUUCUUUCUCUCUCUUACCUUCUUUUUUGCUUCCUCUGUUUCCUUUUCAUUCAUUCAUUCUUUCUCUCUUACCUUCGCCAUGUUUACCGAAGGUCUGGACGAGAGCGCAAUCCAAUGGAUCAAUCAGGUAGCUCUUCUUCUUUCUUCUUCUGUACGAUUCCAACUAUUUCACUUUCUUUUUU
This 78770-nucleotide long non-coding RNA is filed under the name Vigna radiata. RNAcentral's name for it is "long non-coding RNA (VRAD_LNC004358)". Lineage: Eukaryota; Viridiplantae; Streptophyta; Magnoliopsida; Fabales; Fabaceae. The record is from RNAcentral.